RNAcentral lists this long non-coding RNA (45132 nucleotides) under Eucalyptus grandis. Its description in RNAcentral is "long non-coding RNA (EGRA_LNC004362)". The record is from RNAcentral. Lineage: Eukaryota; Viridiplantae; Streptophyta; Magnoliopsida; Myrtales; Myrtaceae.
CAGAAUAACUCCGCAAUACAUGAUUUGAGACAUUAAUUUCUGGACCAAAAAAAUACACCCUACAUGGUGUUAUUUGCACCCUAUGUACAUAAACCAAGCCAGCAUCUAACGAUAUUGAAGACAGUUUUGUAGAAUGCCGGGAGGUGAGAUAUUUCUUGUGUUGCUCAAUCAACCACUGUGAAGGCUCAUAACAACAUUCUUUCAAAUGGAACAGCUUGUCCAAGGCAUCUAGGAUUAUGUCCAUGUCCAUCCUCCGUGGAUCAACCAUUCGAUAAAAGGACAAAUCAAGAGAAGGUCCAGCUAGACAGCCAUUCUGAACUAACAAAUUUAUCUUAAAGAUGAUCUCAUAAGGCAAGUCAACUCCUCUGGGAGGGCCUACGAUUGGAACUAGAUCCGCACUGCAGGAGAAAGGCGAACCAUUUUCCAUAGAAAGUGUUCCAUCGGUUUCCUUAUAAUUGACAAAGUUCUCAUGAAAAUUUGGAAGUGGAUAUUCACAAGGAAUUUCUAAACAUACAGCAGAAGACUGUCCAAUGCAAGCUGAGGGAGUAAAAUCAAUCGCUCUCACCCACUGGUCAUCAGAGCCAUCUUUGAAAAAGUUGUAGAAAUGACUGACCAAAACAUCCUCUGAAUACUGAACAACUUUUUUACGAAUAUAGGGAGCCCCAUACAGCUAACAUCCACAAGAACAAAAUUUAUAGAAAUAUAUUAGGUCCUCUAUCAUAAGCAGCAUAUUAUGCAAAAAAGCAUGCGUGGUUGAAUGGGAAGUGCAAGCAUAAGAAAAUAGAUAAAGGACUGGGUUUCUUUUGUGUCAGUGAAAGUAAAGGUUUGGGGAGUGAAGCCAAAGCCCAGAAGCUGGCCCCUUAUAAAGGAAAAUUCAUGAUGGCCAUCAAUAUAUUUGCCUCCAUGGAAGAUUUGCCACUAUGCCAAAAGUGUAAAAUUCUAAACCUUUUAGGCUCUAAAACAUUCAAAAGUUCCAAAUUAGCCAGAAGCAAGAAUAUGAUCAGCAGAUAUGAACUCUUAUCUCUAUCACUGAAAGGAACUUGUGUACCCUGCUUAGCCUCCUACUUAACCAACCUUGCCAUGACCCAGAACCUCAUUAAAUUCAAUUAACAAUACAUGAAUCAAACAAGAGUCUUCAUCUAACAUUAACAUGUAGCCUAAGAAGAUUGGAAUUAUUUAACCUAAAAAAUCACACGAUUCCUAAAAUCAAGAAACAACAACCUCAUGAAAAAUUAUAAUCAUAAACCUCCAAGCCUUAUCCUUUAAGACUGUUUACAAAAUUCUAUCAUGUCUUGCUGUGAUACUGUGCCUUAGUGAGUUUUCAAAUACUGAGUUUCAGUUAGGAAAUUAUCAACCACGGAAAAUGGCAUUGAAGUCAUAACCUUUCAAUUGUUGCAAUCAAGUCUUCCUAGCCAUAACUCAAUUUGAGUUCUCUUGUCUAGCAGUUCUCUUGUCUGGCAGCCUGUCUCAAGCUACCGCGUCUGCAUUUCAGGAAGAACGUAAUUGGAUAAUUUUUCAAAAAGUCCAAAAUUUCACCGCACAUAUUUACAAGUGCAGAACUUGCUUCAUUGUAUACUCAAGUUUUACAACUUCUAAUACACCUUUCCCUAUCAAUCAAAUAGCAUGCAACCUAAGUACAAGGUAGCCCCUAACGUGAUCUCCAAUAGGUGUAUCACCAGUGGUCCCUGCAGAACUUGCUUCAUCCCUCUACUUUCUUUCUCCCAAUUCAUAUGCAUCCCUUUAUCUAAAAAGUUCCACAUUACUCCCUCUGUUAUGUGUUUCUCUUGUUUGCAUAAAUAAUCGAAUUACUAAGUUGGACGUCAAAGCACGCAUGCUGUCUUAUGAUUCACGGAAUUUUUUUAUGUGGUGCCAUAAAAAUUGAAAAAAAAAAAAAAAAAAACAAACAAACAAAAAAGAGAGAGACAGUGGCACGGACUCAUGGCCAUGGCCACUUGAUCCGGAGCAUGCAACCAUGGCGCUUGAGCUCGUGGCCUCCAUGGCCACUAGAUUUGGACUUCCCCAAACCUUGAGCUCACAGCCAUGGCCACCAGUUCUGGAGCUUGCCUUGGCCGCUCGAGCUGGAGCUUGAGCUCGAGCGUGGGGCUGCUAUGGCUACCAGAUCUGGAGCUCACCAAAACUUGAGCUCGCAGCCACCAUGGCUGCUCGUGCACAAGGUUUAUUUUUUCCAUAUCUGGGAUUUGAGGGGGGUAGUAGAUGGUGACCACUUAGUAAUCGGUGUGUCAGCAGAACAUGUCCUUGAUUCCAACUAAAUCCGUGUGCUUCCUACAAUGAAAGUUUCAACCAUAUCUUUCCUAAAGAGCCCUCUUCCACAAUCUCUCUCUUAAUUUACAAAGUUGUUUUUGUCUAAGUCUCCCUUCAACAUCCAAUUUUUAAGAAAUUCCUUGCAGAUUGUAGAUACUGGAGAACUCAUCCUUCACUCCCACAAACUCACUACCUUGACCCAUUGUCGCAACCUAGCUCAAUGACCCUUGGGUCCCAAGACGAGUGGCUGUAACAGAAUUUUCCUCGUCCAGCCAGAGCCAAUCAAUAAUGUUUGGAGUUCUGCCAGCCAUUUCUCUGUAAAGAUAAGGUCUUGGCAAGCUAUCUAUGUUCAUGAGACAUUUGAUCCAGGCAGAAAUACCAUGAAGGUUAAACAGGGACAAAAAACAAAAAAACAAAAAACAAAAAACAAAACAUCUUCUAAAUGAGUUACAUCAAGUCAUCAACUGGGAGCUUGAAUAACCCCAUUUAGUGAGCUAAAAAUCAAAUCCCAACACUAUGGGGAAGAAUGUAGUACGAAGAAUUUUAACAUUCAUUGGAAUUAGAAGAUCACACCCAAAACGAUGUCCAGUCAAAUAUAAAAACCAAAUAUGCAUUGUAGGAUAAAUCACAAUAUUAACACAAAAUAGUAAAUCAGUCUCUUGUAAUCCGAAUGAAGUCCAAUCACCUGAAUCACAAGAUACAUUGUUUUAUGGCCUCUUGCACGAUGUAGCUCGAUCUGCCAAAUAUUUUCAUAGGAUAACUCGAGCUUAUACUCCGUAUUGUGAUAAGAUAGAAGGAAGCAGAAUUUUCUCAUCCCAAGCCCAAAAUUUAGGGAGACGUUCACCCCUUUCCACAGAGUAGAGAACCUUUUACUUGAUACCUGACAGCCAAAAUGCAAAGUGAUACCUUCCAUUGAAUGCGAAAGGGUUCUUGGCCUUUGUACAAUAUCAUGCUCAACCCUGCGAGCAGUUAGAUAAGAUCGCCCAUACCACAAAUCUUUUCGACUAGCAAGUAAAAUAAUCGACUCUGCAUAAUCAGCAUUCAUAAAUUGGACAAUCGCAUAUGAUCGAACCCCACGUUUAUCUUGUCUAACUUUGAUGGCAUAAAUAGUACCUCUGCCAGUCCUUUGCUCCAGGCAUCCCCUGACUGUAUCUACAGUCACUAAUGAAGGGAAUCCGUGUACAUUUAUAGUCUUACCCAUUUAACUGAUACAAACUUUAUAGCACUCUGUUACACCAUAUCAAGGGCAUCACCAGGAAUGACAGAAGAAUGCCAGGCUAGGGCCUUUGAAAAGCACAUGGACCAUUCAACUCCAAGCAUGAAGUUUGCCGUACUGAAAGGGGAAAAAGUUAGACAGGAAACAUGAAAAUUUCUAUAAACUGAUUGUUGCCUCAAACUACCACAAAUCAUCAUAGCGAUUGAUCAUCAAAUGAACACUUGAUUUCUCCAUCUCGAGAAAACUAUUUACAAGCAUAAUGGGCUUCAAACAGCUUUGUUCACAGUAAGCACAGGAGUGACCAGCAUCAGAAAAACAUCAAAAAGGCCUACAAUUUUAGGCAACCUAUCAACAUAUGACAGUGAUGGACUUUAUUUCCAAUUAACAAAAAUGCCUUCCCGAAAACAUCUACAUGUUGAUAAUCAUGAAUUCUUCAAUGAAGCAAAAUAAGGAAUUCAAAAUAAGAAUAUCAUUGGGACAUUCACAGCACUUCGAGUCCUUCUUAAGCCGCAAGAGAAUAGUGUGAAACUGCAACCAACUCACUAUUGUGAAUCAUGUGCACUUUUAUCAUUCAGGCAAACCUCAUUCGGAGAGAAUAUCAUUGGGACAUUCACAGCACUUCGAGUCCUUCUUAACCCACAAGAGAAUAGUGUGAAACUAGCAGAACAACUCACUAUUGUGAAAUCAAGUGCACUUUUAUCAUUCAGGUGAACCUCAUUCGGAGAGAAUGAGUAUUGGAGGAGAAUUAUUGUUGAAGGGUACCUAGCACUUUAUAUCAGCUGCCAGCAGUUGUAGCAGAAUAACUCACUAUUGUGAAAUCAAGUGCACUUUUAUCAUUCAGGCAAACCUCAUUCGGAGAGAAUGAGUAUUGGAGGAGAAUUAUUGUUGAAGGGUACUUAGCACUUUACAUCAGCUGCCAGCAAUUGCAGCAGAACCAAAUCUGUAUCUUGGCACAUAUCAAAAUGACAGAGAGAAAUCACUCAUUCGCAACUAUUGUUUCUUCAAUCUCGGAUCCAUGCUGAUAAAAGUAUCCACGAAAACCCAAGAUGUGUUGAUCCCAACUAAACUUAAGUCAAAUUUCAAGCAGCAGAAGUUCUCAGGAUGCUGUCCAAACACAUUCGUGAAUGGAACAACAGGACGUAACUGAGCUUUCCAACGAACAAAUUGCUACAGAGGUGAAACAGAAGGAAUUCCUAAACCUUUCCCAAUGGUAUAUUGACAGGCAUACAAAAGAAAUAGAUAAUUCCGCUAGGAAUGUAAAGUACCAAGAUGAAUACCUCCCACAAGCCCAUAACACUAUGUCAAAUUGCAAUUAGAUUCUCCACGAUGCUUCUUGAAAAAUUCCUUCCGAGUCAAUGUUUAUAUUUUAUAGUUGAGAAAAGGUUGCAAUUCUAACAUUCACACUCUAGAACAUAAAACGAACGAGGAAGCAGAAAUUCCAUUUUGUAGCCACAUCUAAAUAUCAUCAGAGAAAAGAUUGCAAUUCUUCUCAAAUGUCCGGAGCUUUUCUUUUCCAAUCACUUAUAUUUAGACGGGGCUACAAAAAUUCUUUCGAAGAAGUUGCACACAAAAAACACACAUCAAACAGCAAAAAUGGGUAAAAGUCCCAUCUUGGCAACGACAGGGUCACAAUUCAGCAUUUCAGCGCAAGCAGCAAAACAGGACACAUGUCUGACACAAAGAGCGCGAAUGUAGCGCACCACACGCCACUUGAGCGGCAGAACCAAUCAACACAAUAGGAAGUAAACCAUCAGCAAGCGCACGCUUGCGUUUUUUCGUCUUUUCUUUUCCCCUAUACCCAAGCACCAUCUCACUCCUGAAGCAAAUUCCCACACAAUGUAGCCUCUCCGAACCAAACACACCCCCCCCCCCAUCCCCCCCCCCCGGGAAAAAAAAAAAAAACCGUGAGAUCCACACGUGAUCGCAAACGUUCUUCACACGCCGGAGUUCCCACUCUCGAAUAUAACGUCCCAGUACAGCCAAAAAAAAAAAAAAAACACGGCGAUCGUAAAAAAUCCAAACUUUACUGACAAGAAGGAGAAGAAGAAGAAACCCAGUUACCUCUGAGAGCUCGCCGAGCAGGGAAGCAAGAAGGGUCUGUCUCUGCGGCGACACAGAGUGUAGUAGAAAAGGAAAGUGCCCAGGAGAGAAGACGGAGCAGCGUCUCCUCCGCCGACGCCCACCCAGAGUCAACCCCUCAGUCAACAACACCACACUGCACUAAAAAGUCAAUCAAUCACUCUCUCUCUCUCUCUCUCACUCACUCACGCUCAGUCGCUCCUGCUCUUCUGCAUUUGAUAUAGGGGUGGGGGAAGAGAGAGAGAGAGAGAGAGAGAGUGGAAAAGGCGACAAUUCCGUCCUUCGCGGGCCACGCUGGCUGACGAAUGAGAACGUGAGGAUCCCUCUGCAUGAAGCGGAGCGAGUUCCUUGUCAAGGAAGGAAGGUGUGUGUUUCCUCGGACGGGACCCACGCGCGGACGAAGAGAAGAAUACUGCCGUACUGCCACGUUUCGACAGGUGACUGCUUCUCCCCCCUUUUUCAAUUUUUGUCUUUCCCUUUUCCACUCCGGAGACUUACUGAAGAAAUUCUAGCCCCCCCGAAUCAAUUGGCAAAUAAAAUAAUCCUGAUUCCAUAUCUUUCACAAAAAAGUAUAUGAUUUGAAGAAUAUUUUAUGAAAAAAAUUCCAUUGAUUAGUUAUUCCGAUCAGAAGAACAAGUGAUCAGUUUUAGAAAUGUAUUUUUCAAAUUAUUCGUCAUUCAUGAAAUAAAAUGAGGCUAAGCAUUAUUUUGAUAAUCCAUGAGAUUAAUUGGAUACUGGAAAAUGAUAUUAGAAGUGUCAUGAUUUUUGUACGGCGCUCGUUUUAGUGUCAAAACAUUUUGACCGACUAUUUAAAUGUAACGUUGGUGUGAAAUCGUGCACUUUACUAUCUAUUCUCGCUAAUCGUCCCUCGUGACUUUUCAAGUUAAUUUUUUGGAACGAUCGUGGCUUUUCAAAAGAAAAAUCUAAGUCUAAGGUGGACAAUCUUCAAUUAAAAUGACAAAGAAUGAUUCGUUUUGGCCUUUUUGUUACGCAAAUUCACUCGAAACCGAAACCCUAAAUUCUACAAAGGGAUUCCUCUUCCGAGAAGCUUAAGCAGUGGAGAGAUUCAAGAUGAGAUGAGCAGUGGAGAGGAUCGAGCUUACGAGAUGACAAAGUGGGGAUCGGUCGAAUCAACUUCGUCGAGGUCCAGAUGAUGACGGGACAACGUGACACAAGGAAUGGCGCUUGAUUUGAAUGAAUCGCAAAGAACUUGCAGGUUUUUUUGGGACAUGAAUCGCGGUGUGCCUCGCCGGAAUCCUGCAAAUCGCAGACGAAUCGAAGGUUACGGAGAUGGCACGUUGGGUGCAUUGGGGAAAAUCGCCGGCAUCUUCCUAGACAUUUCUGCAGCUCCUUCUCUCCAGUUAGAUUUUUUUUUUUUUCCACUUUUUAAGCUCGACUUGAACAUCUUCUACCAAAUUCUUUUGCCAAGUUCACACUGUUAUCUUGCAAAAAAUCCCUCCCCCGAAUCCGCUCAGUCCUUUUUCUUUUCAAUUCCAGAUUGUAGUGUGUAUUUUCUUCGUCAAUUGUGCACAAACUUUAAAUGACUAAGCUCCAUUGAAGAACCAUCAUCGCUCAACCAUUGGAGAGGAAGAGGGACAAAUGGAGCAACAAAUCUCUUCCCCUUUUUUUCUUUUUUCUUUUUUUUGGUUUUUAUUUAUAGUUUUACCGAUAAGGCCAAAACAACUUUGUUUUUUCUUCAUGAUUUUUUGCUGAUUGGAUUUUCUUUGGCAAGCCAAGUCAAUUGAUUUACAGCAAAUUAACGUCAUGUCGGAUUUUCGAAUCAUACAAAUCGAGGAUGACAAUGAAGUGAUUCCUUUUUCCCAAAGUGACACUCAAGUGAUCUCUUAAAAAUUUUUGAUAUUAAGAGUGAAGUUGUAUGAAAAUUAUGAUACUUGAAUACUAGUUAAUAGAAGUGUAUAUCGGUCUAAUCCAAUCCAAGAAUCGGAUUGGAUUGGAUCGAAUCGGCUAAUUCUAAAUGGUUUCUAUGAGAAUCAGUCUAAUUCCUAGUUCUAAAAAUAUGAAAUUGGGAAUAAUUGAUUCAAUUUUGGAAUCGAGAACUAAACUGGUGUUUGGUUCCUUGUGUGAAACUAGACCGAACCAAAACGUCACGCUAGAGGUGACCCUAAAUUAAAAUUAGAGCUCUUUCUCUCUCUUUUAGACCAAAGCUUCUCACCGCUCUGAGCUGCUCACCUCUCUUUCGUGCAACCACCACCAUGGUCUCGAGCAACCACCAUCACAGCGAAGCUCCUCGUGUGGAAACCAAGGGUGAGAAAGAUGAAAGAGGUUCGUCAACGGAGAAACCCUUGGAUGCUUGAUGCGACGAGAGAGAGUAGAGGGAAAGUAUAAAGAGAGAGAUGCGGCUGUUUUAAUAAUAAAAGGAAAAGGGACAUCCAUAAAAAUAUUUCCCUAGUAGCUUGUCAAUUCCUCUGUGCACACUUUCUUAGGUAAAUGUUGAUUUGGUCCCACGAGGACUUUAAAAAAAAAAAAAGAGUAGUAAGGUACCUGUCUUUUCAAUUCUUUCGCUAAAUUAAUGAUUUAUUUAAAAAGAUUAAAGUAAAUAUAGUUGCGAACGGCUAUAUUUUACUCAGUUACUUUCUUGAGCAAAAUCAAAAAUUAAAUCAAAUCAAAACCGAAAACCUUUUUCUCAAUUCCAGAACCACUUGGUUCGGUUCCUAAUUCUAACCUUCGGAAUUGGCAGGCACAAGAUUGAUUCUCGGUUCUAGGCUAUGGAUUGAUCAAUUGAGAACCAAAUCACCCAUAUUGAUUAAAAACUCAUGAUAAUAAAAAAUUUGCAUGUUGUGUUUUCAUAAUGAGUUGGAAGCUACUUAUCCUCCGUGGAAAGUGGUCAAAACUAAUGAAUUUUGCAAUUCAAAUGUCAUGUGAGAAGAAGAAAUUUUAAGAGAAAUUAACAAUGAAUGAUACCUAAUUUGCUUCGGGCUUCAGAACCUAAGCCAGCCACUAGGAGAUUUACUAUGAAUCCACAUUGUACAGAUUUAUCAAUCUUUCGAUUGGUCAAGUGUUUCCCAAGCACUAACCUCUUACAGAGAAUUCACUUAAAAAAAUUUCAGAAAAAAUCUUAUAACUUUUUUUGUUUGCUCUAGUAUGUUCACCAAUUUGAAUUCCAUCUACUGUAUAUACAUGAUGCUUGUAUCCAAAAAAAAAAAAAAAACUUUAGGAAACUUGUUGAAACUAUUCAAAUUAGGAAACCUACAUAAACUAAGAAACCUAUUUAGAUUGGGCUCAAAUUUAAGUCAUAUUCUUAACAUAAGCUUACUAAUGUAUGGAAAACUUACUAAUCACAUGACAAGUUAAUCAGCAACAUAUUGAUAUUUUUCGAAUGAAAAGCAGUGUUAAAGGUACUCAACAACUAUAAAAAAAAAAAAAAAAUUACUAGGAACUUAUGCAUAUUAACUCUUCAAGUACAUAAAGUCACCAAUUCCUAGGAGAAAUUAUCAAAAAAGUCCCAAACUUAUUACACAUGUGUCAAUUCAAUUUUAAACAUUUCAAAUUGAUCAAUUUAGUCUAAAAUCCGUUGUAGUUGCACUAAUUUAGUCGUAAACAUUUCAAUCAUUUUGCCAAAUGAAUCAUAAAUAUUUUGAUGAUUUAUUAAUUUAGUUAUAUAAGCUAACUCUAGCUAGAGAUUGCUAACGUGAUAGUUCAGUAAACGCUAGUUAUCCUAAGCAACAUGGUAGCACUGGCAUGGAUGAUAUAUCCAACUAAGUUUUAAUAGAUACCAAAAGUAUAUUUACUUUUAAUUAGCAACGCUUUCACCAUCACUACCAAUGUGAUUGAUAUCCACUAACUCUUCCAUAAGUGACUACAACGUAUUUAUUGCACAAGUAACUUAUACUAAUGGACCCAAAAAAAAAAAAAAAAACACAAAACACAAAAGCAAAAGUGAAAAGACAUCUCAAGAGUCGAGAUAUGCUCAUUUGAUGCAAUUUCGUCGGAGGGACAUGGUAAUAUUUCCUACUUGGGCCUCUAAGGGUACGUUUGUUUGUGUUUAUGUUCAAAAAUUGUUCUAGGAAACAGAAAUUAAAAAAAAAAAAACUAUUUCUGUUCCGGGGAAUAAUUUUUAACCAGAAAAACGUGUUUGGUAAACUUAUUUCGGAAAUAAAAAAAAGAACCGAAACACGUUUGGUAAAUUUAUGUUCUUUUUUUGUUUCUUUUAAUUUUUUAAUAUUUUUAUUUUAUUUUUCCUUUUUUUCUUUCUUUUUUUUUUCUUUUUUUCUUCUUUUGGCCAGUCGCAAGCCUCAGUCAUGGCCGUUGACCGGCCGACACUCGCCGUGGUUGGGCGAGGCUCAGCCUCACCUUGGGCUGGGCGAGCUAUGUUUUAAGACCUUGAUGCAAGGAUACCUAACACUCAAUAUAGUUUUCCAUGAUUGUAGCAUUAGUGGGCCUUUUCCACAUUACCUAGCGCAUAAAAGGUGUGAAAGGAUGGCCCAGCAUCAGACUAAUGAAACCAUCCGCUUUAGAAGUUCGGAUUGGUAGCCAAACGAGUGAUNNNNNNNNNNNNNNNNNNNNNNNNNNNNNNNNNNNNNNNNNNNNNNNNNNNNNNNNNNNNNNNNNNNNNNNNNNNNNNNNNNNNNNNNNNNNNNNNNNNNCUUAGGAAACAGUUGAAUAGGAUAGAAUCCAGCAUACAGAAUCCUACCCAACUCAUCACAUCACAAGUAGACACUUUCAAAAAACCCAUUUUUAAAGCUUUUGAAUUUCCAAAAAAUCUUAGCCCGGAGUUUGCUAAAGCCAUAGAACAAAAGAAAAAACUCCUAGGGAAAUCAAAGCUAGAGCAUGCUCCUAUUAUAGACAUUCUCGCGAUUUUAUUUAAGUUAUUUACUUUCUUGUUCUUAUACAUAAUUUCCUUUUAGAUACAUCCUUCCUUGUUUUCAUACAGAUCUGUUAGUCUCUUAUACUUCCUUGUUCUCUCAUAUAGUACUCCGAUCCUAGCUCCUUUAUGGUAUCAAAGCUAGUGGGAAGGUAUAGAUAGUCUUUGUAAGAACAUACUCAUAGAUCGAGAGCCAUUCGUUGGCAUCCUUCUUGUUUCUACAGAGUGGUCCAAGCCGUAAGUCCCUGAGUGGCUGUUAGACCGUUGGUUUAGCUCUGUAACGCUUCUGAAGAAGGAACAGUUCCGAUCUUAAGUAUGAGUUUACAUAGAAGAUCUACAUCUUCCUCUAGUUCUCUAUCACAAAUGGACUCAGAUCCCAGUCCUAUACAUAGAGAAGAAGUAAGGAUAGAAGAUUUCAACAAAUCUAUAGAGAAUUGGGAAAUUCCUAAAAUAUAGCUUAAAGAAAUAUACAAACAAUCAAAAUUAAAAUUUUUCAAAAAAUCAGACUAUGUCAUAUCCACCAAAGAAAGAGAUGUUCCUCUUUCUAAUUCCUAUGAGAAAAUACAUCUUUUAAACAAAGAGUCCAUCCAAAAGCAUAAACAAAAAUACAAUUACAUUCAUAUAGGACUAGUCCAAGUAGGAGUCAAACCUCUUACAAAAGAAGGUCUUAAUACCUCUAUUCUUCUAGUUUUACGAGAUUCACGUCUCUUAAACUAUGAUGAGUCCAUACUUGGUACUGUGGAGACAAGUCUCUGCAAAGGACCUAUACAUUUUGAUUGUUACCCUAAUUUCUCUGUUUCUCUCAAAGAUAAGAAUAUUCUUAGAGCCCUCACACUCCAAAUCAAAACCCAUAAUUACAAAGUGGCAGAUGGAUCUAUUCCUUUAGCCUUUGUCUAUAGAAUUCAUUAUAAAGCCAUGUCCUCCGCUUUUGGAGAAAAUGCUUUCAAACAUAGUCCACGGGGAGAAACACUUCUUCUCCAAACUGACAUUUCUAGAGCAAAUACAACAAUUCCUAGGUUUAUUAAUUGGAACCAAGUUACUUUACCAAAAAAAUGGGAAUUAGAAAACCAAAUUCCCCAACAAGUUGUUCAAAAUACAGAUCCGACUAAUGUCAUUCAACAUCCAGAAGGAAGAGUGACCAUUAGAUUUCCUCGAAGAUCUUUCGAUUCAAGAUCUAGUCAUUCUUUUCAUAAUUCUUAUACAAGGUCCAUAGAUCUUAAUCCUAAUCUUCCUCCUAUAAUCACCAUUCCUCCAAGUACUCAUAGAAACACCCCUCUCUAGUAUGCAUAGAGAUACUCCCACACACGAUACAACACCUUUACCUCCUUCCACCAGUAGAAUUAAUCAAGAGACACCUCUUGAACCAGAAAUUAGUGGUUUAGAUAAUAGAUCAUGGAUUUUUAGGCCAGUUUAUCAACAAAACCAGCGUGAACCAGUCCUAGAAAGUACAGAUUCCCCUCAUCAUUCUCCUACUUAUUCUCAAAUGAUAGAUACCGAGCUUAAUGUUUUAGAAAAACAUUUUGAACCAAACAAGGCUUUCCUUAAUAAAGAAUUUAAUUCUGAAAACAACAGACAAAUCAGAGAAUGGUUCUUCAAAACCUUUGCUGAUAAAGCAAAAGACAUUAAACAAAAAUAUUACGACUACAUAUAUGAAUAUGAAGUCCAUAUAUUUUUCUUUGAUUGGCUAGAAGAACAAUUCCUUGAACCAAAAGAAAUAAUUGUUUUAGAUCAUCAUUAUAAGUGGAAACUUGAUAAUGGUGAAACCAUAGAAUCCAAUCAUCCUCCUCUUAGGUGAAUAAAAAUACAACAUGGAGAAAGCGAGGUUACAGCUACCCCUUUUAGGCUUCCAGAUCAAGGACACUCUCUUUAUACUCACAAAGUCAUUGAACAAAACAAUUACACUAAUCAACAUUUGGCGACCAUAGGAAAACAGUUGAAUAGGAUAGAAUCCACCAUACAGAAUCCUACCCAACUCAUCACACCACAAGUAGACACUUUCAAAAAACCCAUUUUUAAAGCUUUUGAAUUUCCAAAAAAUCUUAGCCCAGAGUUUGCUAAAGCUAUAGAACAAAAGAAAAAACUCCUAGGGAAAUCAAAGCUAGAGCCUGCUCCUAUUAUAGACACCCCUAAAUUCCAGAAUCUUAUCAUUAAAGACACUCCUGACCAACCCACUAUCAGUACAUUGACCAAACAAUCUGGUGACUCUGAUAAUGAAUCAGUCGCUGAGAUUAAUUGACUCAAUUGGAGACAACCUCAGAAACUUUAUUAUAGCAGAGCUACCCCACCUGGCAUUGUCCAAGAAGAAUCAUCACAGAAAAUACAGAAUAAAUACUCUCCCGACGCCAUUUAUGAAUGGAAUAUAGAUGGUGUUGCCGAAAGCAAUAUCAUGAAUAUUUUAAAUAACAUGGUAAUGCUUGCCAAUGCCUACAAAACCCAGCAAGAUGUUUAUGAUCAUGCUGUUGCUAAUCUUUUAGUAGUCGGAUUUAUUGGACAACUAAAAGGUUGGUGGGAUAAUUAUUUGACUGAUGAACAAAGAAUACAAAUUUUAACUGCCUAUAAAAUCGAUGACUUUGGCCAACGCAUGGAUGAUGAUCAAGGACAUCUUAUCCAAGAUGCGGUCAAUACUCUUAUCUAUUCCAUUUCACAACACUUCAUAGGAGACCCUUCCCAUAUUAGAGAUAGGAACCAAGAUCUCUUAUCCAACAUGCGUUGCAAAUCCUUAGGGAGAUUUAGAGAAUACAAGGAACUCUUCUUUCAAAGGGUUCUUAUCAGACCUGAUUGCAAUCAACCCUUUUGGAAAGAAAAAUUCUUAACAGGUUUAUCUCAAAUUAUAGGUGACCAAGUUAGAAAUAGAAUUAGAGAAGAAUACAAUGGUCAAAUACCUUAUGAUAUUCUUUCUUAUGGAGAAAUAAUCUCUUAUGUUUACAGACAAUGAACCCAAAUGUGUAAUACUAUUAAAUUACAAAGACAACUUAAGGAAGAACAAUCUCUCACCAAUAGAAGUCUAGGAGAUUUUUGUGCUCAAUACGAUCCCUCUUAUAAUGAAAAAAUAAAACCAAAAUGUAAGGGAACUUGUCCUUUUGAGAAAGAAACAAAGAAAUAUCACAACAAACCUCCACCUCGUAGAAAUAAACAAAGACACCAGAAUAACCAAAAUAGACCUCAUACUGAUAGAAAAAAUUUCAAAGACAUUAAAUGUUAUUCUUGUGGUAAAAAAUGUCAUAUUUCAAAAUACUAUAGGAUUAAUAAAAAAUUAAAUGAACUCUCUCUUGAUGACAAUACUCUUAACCAGUUAAACAACAUCUUCAUAGAAAAUGGUGAUACUUCUUCUGAUGAAUUUCUUGAGGAAGAAGGUCUUCAGAUCAAUGAAAUAGAUUCCUCUUUUGACUCUGAUUAUGAAGAUGCCUCUCCUGAAAAACAUGUUCCUGAAAUAAACAUGUUAACAAAAGAAGAAGAAUUUCUCCUUAGCACUGCUGAUAAGAUCACUGACCCAGAAGCCAAGAAAGAAUACUUAGAUAGAUUACAUUAUUCCUUAAAUAUUACCUCCAAACCCAAUACUUCCUACAAUUUAAAAGACAUUUUAAAUAGAAACAAAAAACCCCAGUCCAGCCCGUUAAUAUAAAUGACCUUCAAAAUGAAAUAAAACAACAAAAGUUAGAAAUUCAAGCCCUGAAAGCAACACAGUUAGAUAUAAAAAAAGAGAUUUCUGACAUAAAAUCUCUUGUCAUAACAAGAAAAACAAAAUUAGAAAACCAAAACGAAAUCACCAAUACAUCAGACAAUCCGGACCCAGCCUUCCUUAUGUUAUUAACAGAAAUAACAUCUAGAAAAUGGUUAAUAAAUAUUAUGAUAAAAAUCAACAAUGAGUUUAUUAUUGAAACAACAGCACUCUUUGAUACAGGAGCUGAUCUCAAUUGUAUCAAAGAAUGCCUUGUUCCAACAAUAUACUUUGAUAAAACUUCCGAAUCCUUAAAAUCAGCCUCAGGUGAUAACCUUAACAUCCAAUACAAAUUACCAAAAGCCUUAGUAAUAAAAGAUCAAAUGUCUUACAAAACAUCUUUUCUUUUAGUAAAAAAUAUGAGGCAACAAAUAAUUCUUGGAACACCUUUCAUACAAUUAAUACAACAUUUUACAGUUACUAAUGAAGGUAUUGAAACCCAUGCUCUAAAUAGAAAAAUCACCUUCAACUUUAUAACAAAACCACAGAAGAGAAGUCUAAAUAUUUUACAAGAACAUUCUAUUUCAGAAAUUAAUUGCCUUAUAAAAGACAAAGAAAAUCAGCUUGAAUUCCUAAAAAAAGAUUUAGAAUUCAAAAGAAUAGAAGAAAAUCUUAUAAAACCAAACAUCAUAGAAAAGAUAGCUUCCCUACAAAAACACAUAGAAAAGACUAUAUGCUCUACUCUACCCAAUGCCUUUUGGGAAAUAAAGAAGCAUAUCGUUGAUUUACCUUAUGAACAUGAUUUUUCUGAAAACAAAAUACCUACCAAAGCCAGCCCAACACAGAUGAAUCAAGAAGUUUUGAAAUUCUGUCAAGAAGAAAUACAAGAUCCCUUGAAUAAAAAACUCAUAAGAAAUAGCCAAUCACCUUGGAGUUGUUCUGCUUUUUAUGUCAAUAAAAAUGCUGAACUUGAAAGAGGAGUUCCCAGGUUAGUUAUUAAUUAUAAACCUCUUAAUACAACCCUUAGGUGGAUAAGAUAUCAUAUACCCAAUAAAAAAGAUUUGUUAAACAGACUUUGUAGAUUAAAAAUAUUUUCAAAAUUUGAUAUGAAGUCAGGAUUUUGGCAAAUACAGGUCAGUGAAAAGAAUAAAUACAAGACAGCCUUCACAGUCCCUUUUGGCCAAUAUGAAUGGAAUGUUAUGACAUUCGGUCUCAAAAAUGCCCCUUCAGAAUUCCAAAGGAUUAUGAAUGAGAUUUUCAAUCCUUAUUCAGAGUAUAUCAUAAUUUAUAUAGAUGAUGUUCUAGUAUUCUCUUCCAAUAUAGAACAUCAUUUCAAACAUUUAUCUACAUUCAUAAAAAUAAUCAUACAAAACGGUCUUGUAGUCUCUCCUACUAAAAUUGCACUCUUCAAAACCAAGAUUAGGUUCUUAGAUUAUUACAUUCAUUUAAGCACCAUCACUCCCAUAGAAAGAUCAAUCUCUUUUACUGAUAAAUUCCCUGAUGAAAUCAAAGACAAAACUCAAUUACAAAGGUUUUUGGGUAGUCUCAAUUAUAUUCUAGAUUUCUUUCCCAAUAUAAAUAUCAUUUGUAAACCUUUACAUCAAAGGUUAAGAAAGGAUCCUCCACUCUGGACUUCUGUCCAUACAGACAUUGUCAAACAAAUAAAAAUACAUGUGAAAGAUAUACCAUGCUUACAUCUAGCUGACGCUUCCACUUUCAAAAUAGUUGAAACAGAUGCAUCAGAAUUAGGAUAUGGUGGCAUUCUCAAACAAGUCAAAAACAACAAAGAGCAAGUUGUUCAGUUUAUAUCAAAACAUUGGAAUUUCACUCAACAAAAUUAUUCGGCAAUCAAAAAAGAAAUACUUGCUAUAGUUUUGUUUAUAUCAAAAUUCCAAGGAGAUUUAUUAAAUCAAAAAUUUCUCUUAUGAAUUGAUUGCAAAUCAGCCAAAGACAUUUUACAAAAAGAUGUUUUAAACAUUGCAUCAAAACAGAUUUUUGCCAGAUGGCAAGCCAUACUUUCAGUAUUCGAUUUUGACAUUGAAUUUAUAAAUGGUUCUUCAAAUUCAUUGCAUGAUUUUCUCACAAGAGAAUUUUUACAGGAAAUACCAAUAUGCCAAGAUCCAAAAAAGACAAAGACAAAGACAAAGGCAAAACCACUACCGAACCCUCCAAUACACCACCAAAGCUGAAAGGCUUAACAUCUGUCAAAACAUGGCUUGAAAUGACAGAAGACAACCAGUCAUUCUUACGCCAAACACCUGUGAAAAUAGAACAUAUAUCAUUUGAUCCCACGCUAGCCUUUAAACAACUAGCCGAUAUGAUACCAAAAGAAACAAUUCUGUUACUUGCCCAGUCCUUACAAAACACAGCAAAAAAGGAGACAUCCAGUGCUAUCGAGGUAAGCAACAAUCCUUCCCCACUUGCUACACAAAAGCAAGCAGAAUACAAAAGAACUUCGAAUGAGGUGGUUAUUAGGCUACAGGCAACCCCUCAAUCUCAAAAAUCAAAAUUUUUCCCCAAAACAUCAUUUCAGAAAAUAUUAACUAUGGAAGAUGGAUUCUUUGACAAAGAUCCAAUCUUAUUUGCCAAAAACAUUUUCCCAAAAAACUGGUUAUUUAAACCACACAAUACAAAUAAAACCCUUGCUUAUUACAAGCAAAUUUUAAUGGAAACAGAAUCAGCAAGGUUUACCCACUUUGCUGACAAAAACAAUACAGAAAACAUUAUGUACUCUACUAUUUCCAUUAGUAAAGUCAUACACCCCCUUACAUUGGGGAACUUCACCUCAUACACCCAAAAAAUUCCAAACCAGGCUUACCCAAAACCUACCAUACUCCUCCUCAUAUACAUACUGGGACUACCAACAAGCUUGGUGGAACGUUUUCUUCAGACAAAAUACAAAUUUCCAACACACCUGGUUGUUAUUCUUUAAAGAUAACUUCCCAAGACAAAGCCUACCAAACUGGUUUGACUCUUGGUGGGAUCUCUUUGGUCAUUUGGACAUAAUACUACAUCCCACAGUCAAACAAGGUUACAAGGUUUUCAGUGAAUACUUCGUACCAACACCGCAUGAUAUAAGGUUCCCAUGCAUUAUGCAUGGGGAUUUGAAUACAAUACAUCCACAAAACCUAGUGUACCAGUAUUUGUCUGUAAAUACAAAACAAAAUGGUGGGAUGGAUUCAAUAGACUUGAACAAGGAUCCGAAGCUGCGGUUAAAACAUGGUUAAACAGCCAGAAAACUCAAAUAAUCACAGCCCCAUCAAAUACAUCGUUCUUACAAGAGAAAUCUAUGGCAAGUGCAUCACUUGCCGCAGUCCAAAACAGAGAGGAAUACUGCAACAUCCUCAGGACAAUGCUCUUAGAAGCGGAAGAAUCACAAUGUGGAUCUUCCAAAUCUCAAAACAGUCAAGACGAAUCCUCCCAGUCACAUCACAGUGGAGACACUAAUGAAGACGACUACUACAGGAUCAAUCUGGACAGAGAUUAAAAUCAAAGACAUCACAUGCAGACACUAUUACAAGCGGUGCAAAGGCUAUACAUUAUAGCAUAAUAGAGAUACAAUGUUCAUACAAUGUUCACUUUACACUGUUCACUCAGUACUGUUCACUUUACACUGUUCAGUACUGUAGCACUUUCACUGUAAUCCUCACUAUAAAUACACCCUCUCGACACAAGGAAAGAGGACCGAAAUUUUCUAGAUUUCUCUCUUCUUUCUCUCUCUCUCUCUCUCUCACUUGUAAACCAUCAUCCCUUCCAUCUCCAUCCUCAUCUCUUCCAUCUCCAAGCUCUCUUACCUUGUAUCCCCUGGUUUCAAAGUAAGUUAGUUUUUCAUAUACAUAGUUUUAUACAAGGUUACCAACUUACAUGAUAGUUGGUUAACCAUUUCUUGUAAUACAAACAUAAAUAUUCCCUGGAGUGCGGAUUACCGCCCUAGUGGAUGACUUGAUGCUUUAGUUUCUGCAUCCUUCAAUACAUGUAAUUUCAGCUUUUCAGCUUUAUAAUACAAGUUCAUACCACCUUCAUGGUUGGUUUUUGUUUAUGCAUACUUUUACUUUAUAUUCUAUAUAUUGCCUUUGCUCUUUACAUUAUUUUUAAUUCUCGCAAUUUUAUUUAAGUUAUUUACUUUCUUGUUCUUAUACAUCAUUUCCUUUUAGAUACAUCCUUCUUUGUUUUCAUACAGAUCUGUUAGUCUCUUAUACUUCCUUGUUCUCUAAUAUAGUACUCCGAUCCUAACCCCUUUAUUCUUUAUUCAUCAGUCAAAUAAUUAUCCCACUAACCUUUUAGUUGUCCAGUAAAUCUGGCUACUAAGGGGGUGCAUGACAACCCAAAAUUUCUGUUACAGAAAUAGUUUUUUUAUUCCAGACCUGUUUCUGGAAGAGAAAUCCGUUUGAUAAACCUAUUCAGUUUUUCUAUUUCUUGAAUAGAUUUCUCUUCCAGAAAUAGGUUUGGAAGAGAAAUCAAAAGCUAAAAUUUUAUACUUCUGAUUUCUAGAAGAGAAAUCAGAAAUAAUUUCUCUCACUAAACCCUAAUUUUGGUAAGUCCUCCCUCAUCUCCUCUACGUCUCUGCCUCCUCCUCCUCCUUCGUCUCUUCUCAUUUUAUUAAAAAUAAAAAUAAAAAUAUUAAAAUAAAUAAAUUAUUUUUAUUUAUUUUAAUAUAUUUAUUUUUAUUUUUAAAUGAAUAAAAUGAAUAUAUAUAUUUUUUAUUUUAUUUUAUUUUAUUUUAUUCAUUAUUUUUUUUGUUACUAAAUCAUUUUUAUUUUUAUUUUUUAUAUUAAAGGUCGUCGGUCGUCGUCGCCAUCGUCCGAAAGGAAAAAAUUUUGUGUCGUUAUCAAACGGUUAUUUUUGCUUAAAAACUCUUCUAGAAAUAGAAAUAGAAAAAUCUAUUUCUGUUUCAGAAACUAUUUCUGGAACAAAAUGGUUGUCAUGCGCCCCCUAAAAGAUUAGCAACAGCAUGAUCAGAAACAUCUUGCUGGGUUUUGUAGGCAUUGGCAAGCAUUACCAUAUUAUUUAAAAUAUUCAUGAUAUUGUUUUCGGCAACACCAUCUAUAUUUUUGUUUCUAUUUAAAAUGUCUUUUAAAUUGUAGGAAGUAUUGGGUUUGGAGGUAAUAUUUAAGGAAGAAUGUAAUCUAUCUAAGUAUUCUUUCUUGGCUUCUGGGUCAGUGAUCUUAUCAACAGUGCUAAGGAGAAAUUCUUCUUCUUUUGUUAACAUGUUUAUUUCAGAAACAGGUUUUUCAGGAGAGGCGUCUUCAUAAUCAAAGUCAGAAGAGGAAUAUAUUUCAUUGAUCUGAAGACCUUCUUCCUCAAGAAAUUCAUCAGAAGAAGUAUCACCAUUUUUCUAUGAAGAUGUUGUUUAACUGGUUAAGAAUAUUGUCAUUAAAAGAGAGUUCAUUUAUUUUUUUAUUAAUCCUACAGUAUUUUGAAAUAUGACAUUUUUUACCACAAGAAUAACAUUUAAUGUCUUUGGUGGUGUAUUGGAGGGUUCGGCAAUGCAUAUAUAUAUAUAUAUAUAUAUAUAUAUAUGUAUGUAUGUAUGUAUGUAUGUAUGUAUGUAUGUAUGUAUGUAUCAAAUUAUCUUUAUCUCAAUACAUGAGUUUUACAAAAUCAAAGAAAAUAUUAGUAUUAUAACAUCGUUGUCUACAAUCAAACAAUAAAAGGUACUUAUAUUGGCAAACUUGCGGCUUAAGCGCUACAUUGUACUUAUAUUGGCAAACUUGCGGCUUAAGCGUUACAUUGUACUUAUAUUGGCAAACUUGCGGCUUAAGCGUUACAUUGCAUAGUCAUAUCGACGAAAUCCCCUUUUUCUCUCCCCUUUUCUCUCUCUCUGUUCUAUCUCUCCCCCGGGAGCUCUCGGCCCCUUUUAAAACCGAGCGUGACCUGUCCCACCAGUCUUAUGAGGUCAACCUUGGCCGGCUGGCCGGGCGUGACAAAGAGCGUGUCCUAUUUUUGCUUUCCUUCUACUUUUUUUUUUUUUGGUUUGGAAUAUGCUUAGUUAACCGUACCCUCAUAUGAUUAAUCGCCAGCCACAUAUUUUGGAAGAGAGGGAGAGAAUUGUGUCUUGCUUGGAUGCUUGAGUUCUUUUAUGGAGUCCACAAAAUGUGUGGCUGGGGAUUCACCUUCCAUUUUCCAAGCUAAGGGUACGCUUAACCAAGUAUAUUUCUUUUUUGGUGGCUCGCACCGCUUUGAAAAGUCGAAUAUUACGAAGCAACCUUGAAUAGCCGGACAUGAGAUAAAGAAAUGUUGACAAGCUGUGCCAACAGUCGGAGAAUAUAUAAUGGUAAAGGCUUUAGAUGAAACGCACACAAAGAAGAGGACUUAACCAGAGCACUAGCUCAUAAAACUUAACUAGCAGAGAAAGAGAGAGAGAGAGAGAGAGAGAGAGAGAGAGGAGCAGCAGCGGCACGGAGGAGGUGGCGGUUAUGGAAUCGUACCCGAUGAACGGUGGGGAUGGCACGUUCAGCUACAACAAGAACUCUUACUUGCAGGUUCUUCAUUUGAUGUUAAGUAGAUGCACUUCCAAGCAACCAUUUCUUAAAUUUCAUGGAAUAAGAGCUAAAUGAUAGAAUUAAUUGGUCUAUCUUUCGCUAAGCUUUGCCUGAAUUCAGCUUCUGAAACUACUCUCUGGUUGUUCAUCUCUUGUGACCCCUUAUGGUUUCAACUAGACAAGUUUUUAAUCAUCAAAGUCGAACUUGCUACUCUGACACGUAUUGCAGAGAGCGUCAACCAACGUCUCCCGGGCGACAAUCGACAAGGUGAUCGCAGAGAAGCUCGACAUAAAGCAAUUUUCUCCUGCUCUGACCACAUUCCAGAUCGCGGAUUUAGGCUGUUCGAUCGGGCCAAACACCUUUCUUGCGGUCCAAAACAUCAUAGAGGCAGUCCGACGCAAGUACGAAUCACAAGGCCUCUCCUCCCAAUUGCCUGAUUUCCAAGUCCUGUUCAACGACCACGCGUCCAAUGAUUUCAACACCCUCUUCACUUCCCUGCCAUCUGACCGGCCGUACUACGCGGCUGGUGUGCCAGGAUCCUUUCAUGGGCGACUGUUCCCCAAGGCGUCCCUCCAUUUCGUGCAUUCGUCUUAUGCGCUUCAAUGGCUUUCCAAGGUGCCUAAAGAAUUGGUUGAUCCAAAUUCCCCAGCAUUUAACAGGGGGAGAGUUCACUACACAAGUGCUCCACGCGAAGUGAGCGAUGCUUAUACAUCUCAGUAUGCACAGGACAUGGUGAAAUUUCUGCACGCUAGAGGUGAGGAAAUUGCGAGUGGAGGCAUCAUGGUUCUAGUCAUGCCCGGGAUUGCUAAUGGCAUUCCUUAUUCACGUAUGCCAUCAGGCGUGAUGUUCGACCUUUUGGGAUUCAGCUUGAUGGAUAUGGCAAAGGAGGUAAAAACUGGAAACGUUGUCAGCAAAAUUUUCUUUCUUACCAAAAAUAGUUAUAUAUGUGCGCAAGUGUAUAUCAGCAUAGUUCACUUACAGGUCUCACAAAUUUAAAUUUAGCGAAAAUAUAGAUAAUCCAUAGUUCAUGUCUCAUUUGUGCAUGUCUUAAUGUGUUUAUCAUAUGCAUGUGGACCCUUUAACGGAUUUCUUAAGGCUUUCAUUCCAUCGUUAGUUCACUUAUAUUCAAAGCAAUCCCAUUGAGUUGCACAGAUGACUUGAUGAAAGUAACUCUCUACAGGGUAUAAUAAGUGAGGCUCAGGUAGAUUCAUUUAAUUUGCCUGUGUACGCUCCCUCUCCUGACGAGUUGACGGCACUAGUAGAGAGCAAUGGGUGUUUUAGCAUAGAGAGGAUGGAUUUAGCAGCUAUUGGAUCGAAGAUCGAUGACUCGUUCGGAGGGCAUGCUUGCAUGCUGCACUUAAGAGCUGGAAUGGAAGGCAUCAUCAGCAAACAUUUUGGAAGUGAGAUAAUUGACGACCUGUUUGAUCGUUAUCUCGGGAAAACCAAUGAAUUUUCCGACCGUUUAAACUCUUCAGUACGUCAAGGAAGCCAACUGGUAGCAAUACUGAAGCGCAAAUAAUGCGCACCUGGGAGUGGGGUCCGCACUUUUUUCAAAUAAAGUUCUAGAUAUCUACUUUCCUCUUCGAAUUCAUAUGUCCCAUAUAAGGCACUCGAAAUCUGAAUACGGUGAGGAUAUUUAGCAUUUGUCCUGGUAUGAUCUUUACAGUACUUGUAUUGCAAUUUUUGAUGAAGUAUCAAUGUAUUGAACUUUUUGGUACUCUGAGGCUUCGUUAAGCAAGAAGUCAUCACCUCCGCAAUGAUGUGCACCAAGAAGGUGCUUCAUCAAGAAAUAAAGUUAAGCAGCAUUACGAUGCUUGUCCUCAUACAUGGAAUAGCUUUGGCACAUAAUUCUAAUUUUUUGAUUCUAUAAGUAAUUUAAAUAUUUGAAAUUUGAUGUGUUGGGCUUCCUUUUCUACUGAGCUGGACUGCAUAACUUCUUUCAAUUUAUCCCACGAGAAAACAAGAAAGAAACUAGGCAGAUUGUCUCGUGAGACCUAGAAUCGAGCGUGUAAAUAAUUGCUUCAAUGGAAGCUGAUUUCCAGACUGCAGAUUUUGGUGCAGUGAGAUAAUGAGUCGCAAAUUUUUCUGCUCCUACUUUUUAAGAUAAUAUUGUACUUUUGGCAUCAAUAUGAUCUUUAAAUUGCUCGUAAGAAAAUCUUGUUAAUCUCCUUUGUGCUGAGGAAUGUUCCAUCCCCAUGAUAACAGCUGCCGCAAAUUUUUCCCCAUCAGCCAUGGCAAGAGCAUGAUCUAUUCUCAAAUUCCAUGACAAACCAAAUCUGAUGCAGCGUCAUCUGGCCUAGAGCCAUUAUCUGAGAUUACAGAAAUGUUAUUAUGUUCAAACCCACCAGCAUUAGGAAUCCGAGGAACCUGUGGCAUGGAAGAAUAACUAUCAUACACAGAAAUUUAUGGGGUAUGCAAAGUUUAUCGCGAUACGGAAAUUCCAAUUCAGAAAGACUAUAGACAGUGAACAGCCGUUUGACAUUACCAUUAUGUACAAAAAGAUGUAAUGCACACACAAAUAGCAGUCAGAAUGUUAUUUAAGCUUCGCUACACAAACAGCAGGAAUUUAGGAGUACCGUUGCCUACACAUUUGCAGAAGACCCAAAUACAACAACUUCGGUUUCUUCAACUGAGAAAAUAUCCAAGUUGGAUUUCUCAAUUCAGACGCAAUCGGGUGAAGUAGUCUUCAAGAGUGGACUUACGAGCACUCAUCCUACCUCGUUUUUCCUUCUUAAUUUGGAUUAGUUUAUCAUAUACACACCAAGGAAAGCUAAGAUAAUGAUCUCGUUUUAAACCCUCGUUGUAGCAACCCCAAUACUCCGGAUGAUACGUGACAUGAUACCACGCAGAUGCUUUUGCAUAUUCAUCAACGGGCUCAGAAUACGAACCACUUCCCUUAUCAUUAAACCAGGUCCGANNNNNNNNNNNNNNNNNNNNNNNNNNNNNNNNNNNNNNNNNNNNNNNNNNNNNNNNNNNNNNNNNNNNNNNNNNNNNNNNNNNNNNNNNNNNNNNNNNNNNNNGCCUCUGUGUCAUCCCAUAAUACUCCAUCAGAUUCCCCAGCUUGUAAUCAUAAUUACCCUUGUGAUAGAAAGCGUCAUCGACAUAUUCCUCAAAUCCGUCCACUUCCAUCUCUGGGUCAUAAGAUUGCCUCGCCAUUUCCAGCGUGAACUUCCGAAUAGAGCUUGAUGCAUAUGCUUCCUCUUUGACUUCCCGGAAAAGCUUUCCGAUCACGUUGUUGGAUGGGUAGCUGGACUUGUCAAGCUUCUCCAUGAAGUCUGGGUAUUCCUUGACAUACAGAUUAGGAGGUAUCACAGCAGGUACACCAGUUUUUGGGAAGUCAACCGCAAUAGAGAAAAGUCUGGCAAGGUCUAAACAUUCAGGGCACAUGGCCUUUUCAGGCUGACUAUCUGCAAAGACGGUGUGGGCAUUGGCAAUAAUUCCAAGGCUGUCAUUAAGUAUGUAAUUUACAAAGUACUCCUCCACUUCCUGUUUAAGCAACAAAAUCACAAAAGGGUUUUAAUUACCCACAUAUCCAUAGAGCAUUACAAGAGAAAUCAAGCGGCAAAUUUCCAAAUGCAACUCAUUGAUUUCGGCAAAUUGAUCAUCAAUAACCCUUCAAAAAUAAAGUGUGCUCAGAUAUACAUCUUCUCUUAAGAGUUCAAGGUAUAUAUGUGCUGGCCACUUCCAAUUUCAAUGUUCCCAAUGAUUCAAAAUAAUCCGUUCAUUUCAUUAUCAAGAAAAGGAAAUGUUCUGUAAUGCAAAAGAAUAAUGCAUAAACCAAUCUUAGUAGAUGUAUAUGCAUGGGCAAGUAUAGGCUUGCAGGUAGAUGCUUAUCCCCACGGUAUUUCCAGCAGAAUCAAUCUUAAUAAAAACAAUAAUACCAAUUCAGAGAAUGGAAGCCUCGUAACGACUGCCGCCUAAAAGAACAAGGAAUUCUCAACAGCAGUGAAGAGUGGGUACCAAAUCCAAGGUCAAGAACAUAGGCAAAGUUUUACUUAUAGAGUCACGCUGGAACAAAACUUAUUAUAAAGACCAAAAGAUUCUUUCCAGAAACCCAUGCAUCAUUAUCGUAAUGAUAACUUCCAAACCCCAAUUUAAGAAACGCAACAGUUAAAACAAGUAUACAGCUAACCCCAAAGCAUGAGCCCAAUCCUAUUCCCCCCAAUGGCAAGGAUGAGUUAUCAUAUAUGAAUCUUUAUUCUCUAGAAGAGUUUCUUCACAAGGAGGAAAUUGAAUGGACCGACCCAUGGUAUAUCUAAUUUCAGAUCAUUAAUAUUUCCCAUGAUGGCCAGCCUUCUAGAUAAGGAAAAAUACCACAGUAGUAAGGUAGUUUCACUUGGUGAUGAAAAUGAUGCUUUCCAUGAUCACACACUUUAAUUUAUCACUUCCUAUUGCCUUGAUAUUUCCUAGAUAAUAAUCAAAUUUAACAUAACAGAUUCACAACAGCUGGAAUAUAAACAAAACCCAUGCAUCAUUUCAGUAAGCCUACUUUUUCAUUCCCUCAUCUUUACUUAAAAAAUUAGCUAUGUCCCUCCACAACAGUCCCUUGAACUGCAUCCAAGCACAAUGCCUGACCAAAUACACCUCUAAGUUUGGCAAAAUAUAUGAAAUGUUGAAAUAGGGUUUCAGAACCAGUGAAAUGGCUCUGCUAGCCUUUAUAGAUACAUUUGAUGAGCGGCUCUUAAUCAUAGCUAAACCCACAUCCGAGUCGAGACAACACUACAGCCUCAAGUGCAUCAUUUUUUACCAUAAUCGCUUUUUGUUUCCCUACAAAGAUUCAUAUCACUUUGUGUGCAGUUGUGCCUGAAGUUGAGUGAGCAAAAUUUGGCAGUUAGCUUUUAGGGCAGAAGAUGAAUAGAGGCAUUGAAAAACUAGGGAAGCCUCCAAACAAGCAAAAAUUAAUGAACUACAUGUGGAGAAUUCUGAGUGCAAGUUCUUUCCAGGGACUUCUCAUAGAAUAGUCCUGGUCAAACAGCCAAUUCCAUGUUAUGUAAGGCAUAAACAGAUCUUUGACUAUAAGAAUCCUAUUGACCUAAUGGUUGAAUUAAUGAGCCCACUCAUACUCAACUGUUUGCUUCGUGACUAAUUUUGAAGCUAUCAUCUGCUUGCAGAGGGUGCAAAUUUUAGCUUCUCAGGGGUUCUUCCAGCCCAGGGAAGGAAGGAAGAGAAGCACACAAAUUUAUAAGUAAAAGGAACCAAUAAGAAACCAAAAGAAUACAGCAGGUUUGACAAGACAUUUUGCUCACAUGCCAAAUUCCUCAGCAAAGAUAAAAUUAUCCAAGUAUCAUGUCAGACAAGCCAAGUCAAGUGAAAAGAUAGAGAAUGCCAAAUGAUGGAUGCUAGAUGGAUUUCCUACUAUAACUGUAAGCUGUUCAAAACGUUUCACAGCAUCAUAAAAAGUCAUUACAAUAUAUAUAAUUCCGUGGAAAUCCUGAGAAAAAGCAUUACCUCAAUUGUGACAUCAUGAUCUAACCUCUCACUUGGGGCAGGUGUGUAAUCCAUAGGUUGUCUCUGGUGAUGCGGAAUUAAUUCUGAGUCCCAGGAGACAAAGUAGAUAUCUCCGUCCAAAUCACUCCCUGAACACUCAUUUGGAUGAGGCCUAUUUCAUUCAAGAAUCGCAUUAUGCAUUAACAAGAGAAAUUGAUAUCAUAUUUUGCUUUCUACUUUUAUCUAUUAAAAGUGUGUUUGGGACAAUUUAAAGUAGAAGAAAGUCAACCCGAAUUACUGAAAUUAUGGGGAAGGAAUUUUUCGCCUAUACUUUUAGCUAGUAGAAUUAAAGGGUAAACCUAUCAGUGUUUAUCCAGAACUAGAACUAUCAGAAGCAUAGAACAACAGCAUAGUAGAGGAUGCUUCUUAGCAAAGUCGCAUCACAUGUAGACAGAAUCUACAUACAAGCCUUGGACCGGUGAACUCAAACCUCAUACAAGAAAGAGACAAACCAGAAGCAGGAUCAACAAAAUUUCAAAUCUAGCCACCAAAUCCCACUGGAUAAAUAUUCUAGCAUUUAUUCUCAAAGCUUAAAGGUGAUAGAAAAGCAGGCCCAAAACUAUUUCUAAAGAAAAAAUGUCAAAAUUAUCCUUGGCUAUGUAAAAUGCGGAAAAAAUUAAAUUGGGUUGCACAUCAGUUCAUUUAUUUUAGACCUAGUACAAACAUAAUAUUAGAAAUUUUAGACCUUAUUACUAUAACUGAACCAAAUCAAAACAAUAGCCAAAGAUCCACAACCAAAAGCAAAAAGAAGUCCAAAAUGGAUCCAUGACAAGUGCCAGCGCAACUGAGGUAAUUGCAAGCCAAUAACAAGGCAUGUUAGAGUCAUACCUUUUUCCCUUCUGUGGAAAAACAACACAAUCCACCAUAUGAUGUAAAGCUGGCACAUCUAUGGCAGUUAGAACACGCACAUCACCUGGAUGUAAGCAAGGAUUCUUGGCAACAACUACUUUUCCCUGUACAACAAAGCUUUGAUCUGAGUCAGUACCAAUGAACACAAUUGACUCAUCCCACAUCUGUUGUUUUCUUCUACCGGAAUACUGCAGAAACACCUGGCCAUAUUCCAAACUUUGGGUUUCGUCAAGGCAUCCCAUCAUUGAUCUUCCUUCAGGAAGAAAUAUCCUCGUUUUUGUCCGCAAUUCAGACAAUUUUGUUGCUCUGAAUGUUCGCAACAUCAUCGAUAGAAAAGGCUCAGCAUCAGGCUUAUAACCACACUUUAGCAUUUCUUUGAGAAUGUUACCAUUCUCCCCCGGGGACAUUAAAUCUAGAGCCUCUUGUGCUCGUAGGGGAUCAACUAAAAUGGCAUUUAGCUGAUCUACAGCAUUUUUUUGUUUUUUCUCGAACACGUGAUCUCGAACGCCAAGUGUUGAUAGAAGAGUGAUCAAUUGGCGAUUAAGAAAGCAAGGCUGAUAUUUGCUCCAUCCCAAGACAUUUAGCUUUGUCUCUUUUGAUUUGUACUUAAACAUGCUCGUUCUGAGUGAUAGUUUAACACAUGACGUUGGAUCAACCGCUACAACACCUUUAUAUCCAGCAUAGCGAAUUUGAAACGCAGAAGGACUAUAGCCCUUCAAGCCACAUUUUCUUGCAACUUUCCGAGCGAACUCUCCAGAUAUUUUCCCAAUGCCAUCAGAAAAGACAUAAUUCAUAUCCUCAACAAGUGACUUGACUUCAAUAUCCGGAAUGAGUUCAACUUCAUCUUCACCUACAUUGAGAGUUUCGGUAGAUGAACUCAAGGAUUGGCCAAGUCUCGCGGCAUAUUUUGCCACAUUUCUUAUUGCACUGAAUUUACCCCUAUCUGCCCUAAUAGUUGCAGCAGUUGUACCAUCUGUUGGAGCAAACAUCCAAGCAGAAUUUUCGCGUAACUGACUGGAUGAGAAGGCAAGAAAUUCAAAAUGCUUAUCACCUAUUUUUAUGCCAUUCUUGAGAAUAGAAAGGAUCCUUUCAUAUAUAUCCGUUCUCCCAUGUCCCGAAGCAGUGCGAGGAGAUAAAUCAGUUGAAUACAUUUUAUCCAGGUCCUCAUCCACAAAAGAAAUACGGAUAAAAUUGUCAAUGUACUUAGAAUACCUCCGCAAUACAUGAUUUGAGACAUUAAUUUCUGGACCAAAAAAAUACACCCUGCAUGGUGUUAUUUGCACCCUAUGUACAUAAACCAAGCCAGCAUCUAAUGAUAUUGAAGACAGUUUUGUAGAAUGCCGGGAGGUGAGAUAUUUCUUGUGUUGCUCAAUCAACCACUGUGAAGGCUCAUAACAACAUUCUUUCAAAUGGAACAGCUUGUCCAAGGCAUCUAGGAUUAUGUCCAUUUCCAUGCUCCCUGGAUCAACCAUUCGAUAAAAGGACAAAUCAAGAGAAGGUCCAGCUAGACAGCCAUUCUGAACUAACAAAUUUAUCUUAAAGAUGAUCUCAUAAGGCAAGUCAACUCCUCUGGGAGGGCCUACGAUUGGAACUAGAUCCGCACUGCAGGAGAAAGGAGAACCAUUUUCCAUAGAAAGAGUUCCAUCGGUUUCCUUAUAAUUGACAAAGUUCUCUUGAAAAUUUGGAAGUUGAUAUUCACAAGGAAUUUCUAAACAUACAGCAGAAGACUGUCCAAUGCAAGCUGAGGGAGUAAAAUCAAUUGCUCUCACCCACUGGUCAUCAGAGCCAUCUUUGAAAAAGUUGUAGAGAUAACUGACCAAAACAUCCACUGAAUCCUGAACAACUUUUUUACGAAUAUAGGGAGCCCCGUACAGCUAACAUCCACAAGAACAAAAUUUAUAGAAAUAUAUUAGGUCCUCUAUCAUAAGCAGCAUAUUAUGCAGAAAAGCAUGCAUGGUUGAAUGGGAAGUGCAAGCAUAAGAAAAUAGAUAAAGGACUGGGUUUCUUUCAUGUCAGUGAAAGUGAAGGUUUGGGGGACUGAAGCCGAAGCCCCAGAAACUGGCUCCUUAUAAAGGAAAAUCCAUGAUGUCCAUCAAUAUAUUUGCCUCCAUGGAAGAUUUGCCACUAUGCCGAAAGUGUAAAAUUCUAAACCUUUUAGGCUCUAAAACAUUCAAAAGUUCCAAAUUAGCAAGAAGCGAGAAUAUGAUCAGCAGAUAUGAACUCUUAUCUCUAUCACUGAAGGGAACUUGUGUACCCUGCUUAGCCUCCUACUUAACCAACCUUGCCAUGACCCAGAACCUCAUUAAAUUCAAUUAACAAUACACGAAUCAGACAAGAGUCUUCAUCUAACACUAACAUGUAGCCCAAGAAGAUUGGAAUUAUUUAACUUAACAAAUCGCACGAUUCCUAAAAUCAAGAAACAACAACCUCAUGAAAAAUUAUAAUCAUAAACCUCCAAGCCUUAUCCUUUAAGACUGUUUACAAAAUUCUAUCAUCUCUUGUUGUGAUACUGUGCCUUAGUGAGUUUUCAAAUACUGAGUUUCAGUUAGGAAAUUAUCAACCACGGAAAAUGGCAUUGAAUGUCGUAAAUCCUGAAGUCAUAACCUCUCAACUGUUGCAAUCAAGUCUUCCUAGCCAUAACUCAAUUUGAGUUCUCUUGUCUAGCAGUUCUCUUGUCUGGCAGCCUGUCUCAAGCUACCGCGUCUGCAUUUCAGGAAGAACGUAAUUGGAUAAUUUUUCAAAAAGUCCAAAAUUUGAUCGCACAUAUUUACAAGUGCAGAACUUGCUUCAUUGUAUACUCAAGUUUUACGACUUCUAAUACACUUUUCCCUAUCAAUCAAAUAGCAUGCAACCUAAGUACAAGGCCCCUAACGUGAUCUCCAAUAGGUGUAUCACCAGUGGUCCCUGCAGAACUUGCUUCAUCCCUCUACUUUCUUUCUCCCGAUUCAUAUGCAUCCCUUUAUUUAAAAAGUUCCACAUUACUCCCUCUGUUAUGUGUUUUCUCUUGUUUGCAUAAAUAAUCGAAUUACUAAGUUGGACGUCAAAGCACACAUGCUGUCUUAUGAUUCACGGAAUUUUUAUAUGUGGCGCCAAAAAGGAACCGCAUCAGACAACAUAAAAAUCGAAAAAACAAAAAAAAACAAAAAAGAGAGAGACAGGAGUAGGACUCGUGGCCAUGGCCACUUGAUCCGGAGCAUGCAACAAUGGCGCUCGAGCUUGUGGCCUCCAUGGCCACUAGAUUUGGAGUUCCCCAAACCUUGAGCUCGCAGCCAUGGCCACCAGUUCUCGAGCUUGCCUUGGCCGCUCGAGCUCCAGCUCCAGCUUGCGGCUGCUAUGGCUACCAGAUCUGGAGCUCACCAAACCUUGAGCUCGCAGCCACCAUGGCUGCUCGUGCACCAGGUUUAUUUUUUCCAUAUCUGGGAUUUGAGGGGGGUAGUAAAUGGUGACCACUUAGUAAUUAGUGUGUCAGCAGAACACGUCCUUGAUUUUAAACUAAAUCCGUGUGCUUCCUACAGUGAAAGUUUCAACCAUAUCUUUUCUAAAGAGCCCUCUUCCACAAUCUCUCUCUUAAUUUACAAAGUUGUUUUUGUCUAAGUCUCCCUUCAACAUCCAUUAUACUGGUCCAAUUUUUAAGAAAUUCCUUGCGGAUUGUAGAUACUGGAGAACUCAUCCUUCACUUCCACAAACUCACUACCUUGACCCAUUGUCGCAACCUAGCUCAAUGACCCUUGGGUCCCAAGACGAGUGGCUGUACCAGAAUUUUCCUCGUCCAGCCAAAGCCGACCAAUAAUGUUUGGAGUUCUGCCAGCCAUUUCUCUGUUAGGAUAAGGUCUUGGCAAGCUGUCUAUGUUCAUGACACAUUUGAUCCAGGCAGAAAUACCAUGAAGGUUAAACAGGGGGAAAAAUAAAAACAAAACAUCUUCUCAAUGUGUUACAUCAAGUCAUCAACUGGGAGCUUGAAUAACACCAUUUAGUGAGCUAAAAAUCAAAUCCCGACACUAUGGGGAAGAAUGCAGUACGAAGAAUUUUAACGUUCAUUGGAAUUAGAAGAUCACAGCCAAAAUGAUGUCCAGUCAAAUAUAAAAACCAAACAUGCAUUGUAGGAUAAAUCACAAUAUUAGCGCAAAAUAGUAAAUCAGUCUCUUGUAAUCUGAACGAAGUCCACUCACCUGAAUCACAAGAUACAUUGUUUUAUGGCCUCUUGCACGAUGUAGCUCGAUCUGCCAAAUAUUUUCAUAGGAUAACUUGAGCUUAUACUCCGUAUUGUGAUAAGAUAAAAGGAAGCAGAAUUUUCUCAUCCCAAGCCCAAAAUUUAGGGAGACAUUCACCCCUUUCCACAGAGUAGAGAACCUUUUACUUGAUACCUGACAGCCAAAAUGCAAAGUGAUACCUUCCAUUGAAUGCAAAAGGGUUCUUGGCCUUUGUACAAUAUCAUGCUCAACCCUGCGAGCAGUUAGAUAAGAUCGCCCAUACCACAAAUCUUUUCGACUAGCAAGUAAAAUAAUCAACUCUGCAUGUUCAGCGUUCAUAAAUUGGACAAUCGCAUAUGAUCGAACCCCACGUUUAUCCUGUCUAACUUUGAUGGCAUAAAUAGUACCUCUGCCAGUCCUUUGCUCCAGGCAUCCCCUGACUGUAUCUACAGUCACUAAUGAAGGGAAUCCGUGUACAUUUAUAGUCUUACCCAUUUAACUGAUGCAAACUUUAUAGCACUCUGUUACACCAUAUCAAGGGCAUCACCAGGAAUGACAGAAGAAUGCCAGCCUAGGGCCUUUGAAAAGCACAUGGACCAUUCAACUCCAAGCAUGAAGUUUGCCGUACUGAAAGGGGAAAAAAUUAGACAGGAAACAUGAAAAUUUCUAUAAACUGAUCGUUGCCUCAAACUACCACAAAUCAUCAUAGCGAUUGAUCAUCAAAUGAACACUUGAUUUCUCCAUCUCGAGAAAACUAUUUACAAGCAUAAUGGGCUUCAAACAGCUUUGUUCACAGUAAGCACAAGAGCGGCCAGCAUCAGAAAAACAUCAAAACGGCCUGUAAUUUUAGGCAACCAUAUCAACAUAUGACAGUGAUGGACUUUAUUUCCAAUUAACAAAAAUGCCUUCCCGAAAAGAUCUACAUGUUGAUAAUCAUGAAUUCUUCAACGAAGCAAAAUAAGGAAUUCAAAAUAAGAAUAUCAUUGGGACAUUCACAGCACUUCGAGUCCUUCUUAACCCCACAAGAGGAUAGUGCGAAACUGCAACCAACUCACUAUUGUGAAAUCAUGUGCAAUUUUAUCAUUCAGGCAAACCUCAUUCGGAGAGAAUGAGUAUUGGAGGAGAAUUAUUGUUGAAGGGUACCUAGCACUUCAUAUCAGCUGCCAACAGUUGUAGCAGAACAACUCACAAUUGCGAAAUCAUAUGCACUUUUAUCAUUCAGGCAAACCUCAUUCGAAGAGAAUGAAUAUUGGAGGAGAAUUAUUGUUGAAGGGUAAUUAGCACUUUAUGUCAGCUGCCAGCAAUUGCAGCAGAACCAAAUCUGUAUCUUGGCACAAAUCAAAAUGACAGAAAGAAAUCACUUGUUCGCAACUAUUGUUUCUUCAAUCUCGGAUCCAUGCUGAUAAAAGUAUCCACGAAAACCCAAGGUGUGUUGAUCCCAACUAAACUUAAGUCAAAUUUCAAGCAGCAGAAGUUCUCAGGAUGCUGUCCAAAAACGUUCGUGAAUGGAACAACAGGACGUAACUGAGCUUUCCAACAAACAAAUUGCUACAGAGGUGAAACAGAAGGAAUUCCUAAACCUUUCCCCAUGGUAUUUUAACAGGCAUACAAAAGAAAUAGAUAAUUCUGCUAGGAAUGUAAAGUACCAAGAUGAAUACCUCCCACAAGUCCAUAACACUAUGUCAAAUUGCAAUUAGAUUCUCCACGAUGCUUCUUGAAAAAUUCCUCCCGAGUCAAUGCUUAUAUUUUAUAGUUGAGAAAAGGUUGCAAUUCUAACAUUCACACUCUAGAACAUAAAACGAACAAGGAAGCAGAAAUUCCCUUUUGCAGCCACAUCUAUAUAUCAUCGGAAAAAAUGUCGUAAUUCUUCUCAAAUGUCCGGAGCUUUUCUUUUCCAAUCACUUGACUUCUCUAAUGAUAUUUAGACGGGGCUACAAAAAUUCUUUCGAAGAAGUUGCACACAAAACACACAUCAAACAGCCAAAAACGGUAAAAGUCCCAUCUUGGCAACGACAGGGUCACAAUUCAGCAUUUCAGCGCAAGCAGCAAAAGAGGACACAUGUCGACACGAAGAGCGCGAAUGUAGCGCGCCACACGCCACGGCAGAACCAAUCAACACAAUAGGAAGUAAACCAUCAGCAAGCACACGCUUGCGUUUUUUCGUCUUUUCUUUUCCCCUAUACCCAAGCAUCAUCUCACUCCUGAAGCAAAUUCCCACACAAUGUAGCCUCUCCGAACCAAACACCCCCCCACCCCCAAAAAAAAAAACCGAAAAAAAAAACCAUGAGAUCCACACGUGAUCGCAAACGUUCUUCACACGCCGGAGUUCCCACUCUUGAAUAUAAUGUCCCAGUACAGCCAAAACAAAGAAACACGGCGAUCAUCAAAAAUCCAAACUUUACUGACAAGAAGGAGAAGAAGAAGAAACCCAGUUACCUCUGAGAGCUCGCCGAGCAGGGAAGCAAGAAGGGUCUGUCUCUGCGGCGACACAGAGUGUAGUAGAAAAGGAAAGUGCCCAGGAAAGAAGACGGAGCAGCGUCUCCUCCGCCGACGUCCACCCCGAGUCAACCCCUCAGUCAACAACACCACACUGCACUAAAAAGUCAAUCAAUCACUCUCUCUCUCUCUCUCUCACUCACGCUCAGUUGCUCCUGCUCUUCUGCAUUUGAUAUAGGGGUGGGCGAAGAGAGAGAGAGAAGGGGAAGGAAGUGGAAAGGCGACAAUCCCGUCCUGGCUGAGGAACGAGAACGUGAGGGUCCCUCUGCAUUAAGCGGAGCGAGUACCUUGUUAAGGAAGGUGUUUCCUCGGACGGGACCCACACGCGCACGAAGAGAAGAAUAUUGCCGUACUGCCACGUUUCGACAGGUGACUGCUUCUCCUCCCUUUUUCAAUUUUUCUCUUUCCCUUUUCCACUCCCAGGUGCGUUUGGUAACUAUUCUAAUACCAGGAAAUGAUUCUGAUUAGAAAUUAUUAUUUUUUAUUCUGUUUCGAAAACUAAUUUUAAGUAAAAAAUUACGUUUAAUAACUGUCUAAAAUUUUUUAUUCUGUAAUAGAAUUGUGUUUGAUACAGUGCUAAUUAAUUAUGUUCCAAAUUAAUUUUUUUUAAUUUUUAAAUAAUUUUUUUCCUUUUUUUCUUUUCUUUCUUCCUUUUUUUUUUCUUUUUUUUUCUUUUUUUUCCUUUUUAUUAUUCUUCUUCUUCAUGUGGCCGGUCGUCGGUCCGGCAAUCGGCCCUCAACAAGGUCGACCCUUGUUGGCCGAGCCUCGCCGAUGGCCAGGCGAGCCUCGGCAACGCUGGGCAAGGCCCGCCUGGCCACCGGCGAGCCUCGGCCUUGCUCGAUCUGGCGAGGCUCGCCUGGCCACCGGCAAGGCUGGGCUUGCCUCCGACAAACGACGACCAGCAGCGAACGGCGAUGAGUGGUGGUGGACGACAAUCGCGAGAUGACGGAAGGGAAGAAUGAGACUUUCACUGUUUUGAUUCUUUUUUUUAUUCUCGGACGGAGAAUCACAUUUUUUUUUUUUAUUCUCAAUUCUCUUCCCAAUCUGUUCCUAGGAAAAAAAAAUUUACCAAACGCGAUUCUCGUCCCAAACUAAUUCUAAGAACAAUCAGAAUCAGACACUGUUUGGCACGUUGCCAAAUAGGCCCUUAUGGAAGAAAUUCUAGCCCCCGAAUCAACAAUCCUGAUUCCAUAUCUUUCAUAAAAAAAAAUAUUAUUUGAAGAAUUUUUAUGAAAAAGUAUUGCUUGUAUGACUUAUAAAAAUAAAUGGACGAGUCAGUCACAUUUUUAUUGUGAUCACGAAGAUAUUUUCGAUAAAAAUUAUUAUUGAUAAUGAAAAAAAAUUCAUUAAUUAAUUAUUCCGAUCGAAACAAGUGAUUAGUUUUAGAAAUGUAUUUUUCAAAUCAUUCGUCAUUCAUGAAAUAAAAUGAGGCUAAGCAUUAUUUUGAUAAUCCAUGAGAUUAAUUGGAUACUGAAAAAUGAUAUUAAAAGUGUCAUGACUUUUGUGCGGCACUCAUUUUAGUGUCAAAACUUUUUGACCAACUACAUAUAUGUAAUGUCAGUGUGAAAUUGUUCACUUCACUAUCUAUUCUAGCUAAUCGUCCCUCAUGACUUUUCAAGUUAAUUUUUCAGAACGAUCGUGGCUUUUCAAAAGAAAAAUCUAAGUCUAAGGUGGACAAUCUUCAAUCAAAAUGACAAAGAAUGAUUCGUUUUGGCCUUUUUGUUACCCAAAUUCAUUCGAAACCGAAACCCUAAAUUCUACAAAGGGAUUCCUCUCCGGAGAAGCUUGAGCAGUGGAGAGAUUCAAGAUGAGAUGAGCAUUGAGCAGUGGAGAGGAUCGAGCUUACGAGAUGACCAAGUGGGGAUCGGUCGAAUCGGCUUCUGUGAGGUCGAGAUGAUGACGAGACAACGUGACACGAGGAAUUGCGCUUGAUUUGAAUGAAUCACAAAGAACUUGCUGGUUUUUUUUGGGACAUGAAUCGCGGUGUGCCUUUGCCGGAAUCCUGCAAAUCGCAGACAAAUCGAAGGUUACGGAGAUGGCACGUUGGGUGCAUUAGUGGAAAAUCGCCUGCCUCUUCCUAAACAUUUCUGCAUCUAAGUAUGGCUUGAACAUCUUCUACCAAAUUUUUUUGCCAAGUUCACACUGUUAUCUUGCAAAAAAUCCCUCCACCGAAUCCGCUCAGUCCUUUUCUUUUCAAUUCCAGAUUGUAGAGUGUAUUUUCCUCGUCAACUGUACACAAACUUUAAAUGACUAAGCUCCAUUGAAGAACCAUCAUCGCUCAACCAUUGGAGAGGAAGAGGGACAAACGGAGCAACAUAUCUCUUCCCCUUUUCUUCUUCUUCUUCUUCUUCUUCUUCUUUUUUUUUUUUUGGUUUUUAUUUAUAGUUUUACCGAUAAGGCCAAAAUAACUUCGUUUUUUCUUCAUGAUUUUUGCUGAUUGGAUUUUCUUUGGCAAGCCACGUCAAUUGAUUUACGAUAAAUUAACGUCAUGUCAGAUUUUCGAAUCAUACAAAUCACCGAUGACAAUGAAGUGAUUUUUUUUUUCCGAAAGUAACACUCAAGUGAUCUCUUGAAAAAUUUUGUCAUUAGAAGUUGUAUGAAAAUUAUGAUACUUGAAUACUAGUUAAAAGAAGUGUAUAUCGGUCUAAUCCAAUCCAAGAAUCAGAUUGGAUUGGGUCAAAUCGGUUAAUUCUGGGUGGUUUCCACGAGAAUCGGUCUAAUUCCUAGUUCUAAAAAUGUGGAAUUGGGAAUAACCAAUCCAAUUUUGGAAUCGGGAACUAAACUAGUGUUCGGUCUCUUAUGUGAAACUAGACCGAACCAAAACGUCAAAACCAGCUAGAGGUAACCCUAAAUUAAAAUUAGAGCUCUUUCUCUCUCUUUUAGACCAAAGCCUCUCACCGCUCCCAGCUGCUCACCUCUCUUUCGUGCAACCACCACCAUGGUCUCGAGCAACCACCAUCACAGCGAAGCUCCUCGUGUGGAAACCAAGGGUGAGAAAGAUGAAAGAGGUUCGUCAACGGAGAAACCCUUGGAUGCUUGAUGCGACGAGAGAGAGUAGAGGGAAAGUAUAAAGAGAGAGAUGCGGCUGUUUUAAUAAUAAAAGGAAAAGGGACAUCCAUAAAAAUAUUUCCCUAGUAGCUUGUCAAUUCCCUCUGUGCACACUUUCUUAGGUAAAUGUUGCUUUGGUCCCACGAGGACUCAAAAAAAAAAGUAGUAAGGCACCUGUCUUUUCAAUUUUUUUGUCUAAAUUAAUAAUUUGUUUAAAAAGAGUAAAGCAAAUAUAGUUGUAUUUUACUCAGUUCAUUUCUUGAGUAAAAUCAAGAAUUAAACCAAAUCGAAACCGAAAACCUUUUCUCAAUUCCAGAACCACUUGGUCCGGUUCCUAAUUCCAAUCUUCAGAAUUGGUAGGCACAAGAUUGAUUCUCGGUUCUAGGCCAUGGAUUGAUCAAUUGAGAACCAAUCACCCAUAUUGAUUAAAAACUCAUAAUAAUUAAAAAUUUGCACCGUUGUGUUUUCAUAAUGAGUUGGAAGCUACUUAUCCUUCGUGGAAAGUGGUCAAAAACUAAUGAAUUUUGCAAUUCUAAUGUCAUGUGAGAAGAAGAAAUUUUAAGAGAAAUUAACAAUGAAUGAUACCUAAUUUGCUUCAGAACCUAAGCCAGCCACUAGGAGAUUUACUAUGAAUCCACAUGGUACAGAUUUAUCAAUCUUUCGAUUGGUCAAGUGUUUCCCAAGCACUAACCUCUUACACAGAAUUCACUUAAAAAAAUUUCAGAAAAACUCUUAAAACUUUUUUUGUUUGCUCUAGAGUGUUAACCAAUUUGAUUCCACCUACUGUAUAUACCUGAUGCCUGUAUCCAAAAUAAAAAACUUUUAGGAAACUUGUUGAAACUACUCAAAUUAGGAAACCUACAUAAACUAAGAAACCUAUUUAGAUUGGACUCAAAUUUAAGUCAUAUUCUUAACAUAAGCUUACUAAUCACGUGACAAGUUAAUCAGCAACAUGUUGAUAUUUGACGAGGACAUGGCGCUACUCACAAGGAAAUUCAAGAGCAUCAUGAGAAAAGGGGAAGGAGCUUCAAAGGCAAGAGACUAAUGGGAUCCUCUGAAGAUAAUGAAGUUCUCCAAAUAUAAAAUGAGAAUAAAUGUCAGGAUGCAGUUGGCUAUGAAUGCAGGAAACCUGAUCAUGUCAAACCAGAAGUUCACUAGACCAAAAGGAAGAAUAGCAAGUUUGAAAAGAAGAAAAGAGUGCUGAAAGCAAAAGCGUGGAGAUAAGGUCGAGAAUCAUAUAGCUCAUCCCAUUAGGAAGAGAGUUUUCAAUUUUGAGAAACAUCUAGGGCUUUGCGUUAAAAAUUUAGAGGCCCAAGAAGGAAAUAUUACCAUGACCCUCCGACGGAAUUGCAUCAAACGAGCAUAUCUCGACUCUUGAGACGUCUUUUCACUUUUGCUAUUGUGUUUUUUUUUUUUUUUUGGGGUCCAUUAGUAUAAGUUACUUGUGCAAUAAAUACGUUGUAGUCACUUAUGGAAUAUUAUUGGAUAUCAAUCACAUGUGUAGUGAUGGUGAAAGCGUUGCUAAUUAAAGGUAAAUAUACUUUUGGUAUCUGUUAAAACUUAGUUGGAUAUAUCAUCCAUGCCAGUGCCGCCAUGUUGCUUAGGAUAACUAGCGUUGACUGCACUAUCACAUUAGCAAUCUCUAGCUAAAGUUAGCUUAUAUGACUAAAUUAAUAAAACGUCAAAAUAUUUAUGAUUAAUUUGGCAAAAUGAUAGAAAUGUUUCUGACUAAAUUGGUGCAACUGCAACGGAAUUUGAACUAAAUUGAACAAAUUAAAAUGUUCAAAAUUGAAUUAGCACGGGUAUAAUAAAUUUAGGACUUUUUUGGUAAUUUCCCUUAGGAAUUGGUGACUUUAUGUACUUGAAGAGUUAAUAUACUGCUUUUCAUUCAAGGUUCGUUCAAAUGUAAUUAGGAAUUGAUCUUAGAUUUCUUUUGUUGUAGUACAAGAAGAAAUUAUAUUAAAUAUAGAUGGAGACAUACAUAUUAUAUGAGAUGAAUAGUUUUAGCAUUUAGUGCAAGUUUAAUUUCGUCACGAUUAGCAGCAAGUGGAGCUAGUGGAUGUUCUUCUCUAGCUGGUGGAAUAGGAGGUCCUGCUGGUGGAGGAAUUACCAAUCCAUUCUCAAUUACGUCCCACAUAGGAAUCUCUGUAGCUGGAAGAAACACUUAAAUUUUUUGUUUCCAGUAGUUGUCGUCUGUAUCAUCAAAGUAAGCUAGCUUACUGGGAGCUUGUCCAUGAGGAGCACCAAAACCAAUAAUGAUGUUAAACAUAGAUAAGAUUUUACUUCAAAUAACAAACAAAAAAGAUCUGAUACCAAUUGUUGAGGCUAGCAAUACAACUUAGAGAGAGUGAAUAGGUCUAUUAAAAACUUAAACAAUUUUUCUCACGGAGGAUAACAUGAUGUACUUUGACAGUAGCAAGAAUAGAUUAACAACUAUAAGUAAGCUGAUACUUCUAUCAGGCGGUUAAAGCAAUAAUGAAUAGAUAGAAAGUAGCACACAACAAUAUAUAGUGUUUCGGCUUAUCCUCAAGUCUACGUUCAAGGAAGCCAAUUAGUAGAGAUACUAAAGUGUAAAUAAUGCGCCCUUGAGAGUGAGUUCCACAUUUCUUUUCCCUAAUUUUAAUUCAUAUGUCGCGUAAAAUGUACUCAAAAUUUGAAUACAGUGAGGAGAUCAGCAUCUUUCCUGGUCUGAUCUUUACAGUACUCGUAUUGCUUUUGUUCAAGAAGUUUGAACGUAUUGACCUUUUGGUACUCUUGGGGCUUCGAUAAGCAAGAAGUCAUCACCUUUACAAUGACCAGUAUCAAUGUGGUGCUUCUUCAAGAAAUUAAAGUCAAAAGGCAUUAGGUUGCUCGUCCUCAUGCAGGGGGUAGCUUCGAUAGAUGAUCCCAGUUCUUUAAGUAGAUUUGUGAAACUAGGUGCAUUGUAUUGUGAAACCGACACUUGCGUGCCUAAAUGAUUACUUCACCAGAAGCUGUUUUUCGAACUGCAGAUUUCCGCGCAAUGCUAAUCCCCUAUGUGCUGUUUUUUUUUUUUUUUUUUGGUAAGAAUCCCCUAUGUGCUGUUUCGACCAAAAGAAAACAAAAAUCUCCUAUGUGCUGCUACAUAGUGUACCGUUCCCGUGAUCACAAACUGCUGCAAAAUUUUCCAACAUCACACAUUGCAAGAGCAUAAUAUUAUUCUCAAAGUCCACGACAAACUAAAUCUGAUGCAGCAUCAUCUGGACUAGAGCUGUCAUCUGAAAUUACAGAAAUGUUAUAACGUUCAAAUCCCCCAGCAUUAGGAAUCGGAGGAACCUAUGUCAUGGAAGAAUAACUGUCAUUCACGGAAAUUUACGGGGUACACAACGUUUAUUGUGACACCAUGGAAAGUCCCGUUCAGAGAGACUGUAAACUGUGAACAGCCGUCAGGCAUUACCAUCAUGUAGUAAAAGAUGUAAUGCAUGCACGAACAGCAGCCAGUAUUCAAGCUUUGCUAAAUAAAAGCAGGAGUCUAGGAGGAACGUUGCCUGCACAUUGCAGAAGGCACAAAAACACAAUAACUCCGCUCCCUCCAACUAAUAAAAUAUCUGAGUAGGAUUUGUCAGGAACAAUCCACGGGUUAAGUGGUCUUCAAGAGUGGACAUAUUAUCAGUUAUCCUACCUCGUUUUUUCUUCUUAAUUUGGAUCAGUUUAUCAUAUACACACCAAGGAAAGCUAAGAUAAUGAUCUCGAUUCAGACCCUCGUUAUAGCAACCCCAAUAACUCGGGUGAUAUGUGACAUGAUACCAAGCAGAUGCUUUUGCAUAUUCAUCGACGGCCUCAGAAUCUGAACCACUUCCCUUAUCAUUAAACCAGUUCCGAGCUUCCUUUCUCAGGGAUUUUACAGCCCUGGUAAUGCUGUCAGAGUCCCUCUUCUUGGUGAAAGAUUUGGACAUUUUCAUUAUGCAGCCACUAAGUAUUUCGGCCUCUGUGUUAAUCCCAUAGUACUCCAUCAUAUUACCCAGCUUGUAAUCAUAAUUACCCUUGUGAUAGAAAGCGUCAUCAACAUAUUCCUCAAAUCCGUCCACCUCCAUCUCUGGGUCAUAAGAUUGCCUCGCCAUUUCCAGCGUGAACUUCCGAAUAGAGCUCGAUGCAUAUGCUAGCUCUUUGACUUCCCGGAAAAGCUUUCCGAUCACGUUAUUGGAUGGGUAGCUGGACUUGUCAAGCUUCUCCAUGAAGUCUGGGUAUUCUUUGGCAUACAGAUUAGGAGGUAUCACAGCAGGUACACCAGUUUUCGGAAAGUCGACAGCAAUAGAGAAAAGUCUGGCAAGCUCUAAACAUUCAGGGCUCAUGGCCUUUCCAGGCUUACUAUCUGCAAACGCGGUGUGGGAGUCGGCAAUAAUUCCAAGGCUGUCAUUAAGCAUGAAUUUUACAAAAUACUCUUCCACUUCCUGUUUAAGCAACAACACCACCACAAAAAGAGUUGAAUUAACCCCUACAUCCACGAAGCAUUACUAGAGAAAUCAAGGGGUGAAUUUCAAACUGGAUGCAACUCAUUCAUCUCCCGCAUAAUCGAUUAUCAAUCACCAUACAAAAUAAAGGUAGACAGGCAAACUUAUCGAUCUCCCACAUAUUUGAUCAUCGAUUACCUUAUGAAAACAAAGGUACGCUGGGAUAUACUCUUCUCGUAAGUAAUUCAAGGUACAUGUUGACCAUUUCCUGUUCCAGCAUUCCCAAUGUUUCCCAAUAAUCCGUUCAUUUCAUCAUCAUGAAAAGGAAAUGUUCCGCAUAGCAAAAGAACAAUGUAUACACCCAUCUUAGUAAAAGCGAAUAUGCAUGGGAAAGUAUAGCCUAAUAAUCAUUACACUUGAACGAAAAAAAAAAAAAGGAAAUUCUCAACAGCAGUGUAGAGCAGGUCCCAAAUCCAACGUCAAGAAGGUACAAUCAAGUAUCGAGGCCAAGUUCUAGGAAUAAUUACCAAUUAAAUCCUAAACCUAAUGUAUGGAUUUUGAUUCAAUUUUAAAUUUUUCAACUUUGUCGAUGUAGUUCUAAACAUUUGUGCAAAAUCACACUUUUAUUCCUUAUGGCCAAUUGCCGCCCAAAAUAGCUGAUGUCACGAUUCACAAAUUGUCCACGUUAGCAUGUUAUAUAGGAAAACCGGUGAUGAUUGGACUCCACCUUAGCAAUUUCUAGCAACAAUUGGCCAAAGGAACUAUAUUGAAAUUUUGUGCAAAGGUUUGGGACUACAUUGGCAAAAUAUAAUAGAUUUAGAACUGAUGGGUAAUUAUCCCGAAAUUUUACUUGUAGAUUUGCACUGGAACAAAAUCUUAUUAUAAAGAUUUAAAGAUUCUUUUCCAUACAAACCCAUACAUCACCAUCGUAAAUGAUAACCUCCAAACAAACCCAAAUUAAGUGAAGCCACAGUUAAAACAAGCAAAUAGCCAACACCAAAGUAUGAGCCCCAGCCCUUUUCCCCCAAAAGCAAGGAUGAGUUAUCAUGAUGAAUCUCUGUUCUCUGGAAGAGUUUCUUCGCAAUAAGGAAAUUGAAUGGACCGAUGUACGGUACCUCCAAUUUUAGAUGAUCGAUAUUUCCGUUGUUGCCUAGCCAUCUAGAUAACACCACAGCAUCUAAAGCUUCAUUAUUUACCAUAAUCGCUUUUUGUUUCCCUACAAAUGUUUAUCACUUUGUUUAAAGUGGCGUCUGAAGUUGUGACAGAAAAUUUGGCGUAUAGCUUUUAGGACAGAAGAUGUAUGGUUUGGCUUUAUGAAUCCUAUCAACGUAAUGGUUGAAUCAAUGAGCCCAGUUAUACUCAACUGUAUGAUUAGUAAGUAAUCUUUUAAGCUAUCAUCUGCUUGCCAAAGGUGCAAACUUAGGGGUUCUUCCAACCCAGGGUAGGAAGAAAGAGAAGCACACAGAUUUAGAAGCAGAAGGAACCGGCGAGAAAACAAAAGAACAUAGCAGGGUUGACAUGACAUGAUGCUCACACGCCUAAUUCCUCCGCGAGGAUGAAAUGCAAUCCAAGCAUCAUGUUGGACAAGCCAAGUCGAAUGAAAAGAAAGACAAUGUGAAGAUAAUGGAUGCUAGAUGUAUUUCCUACUAUAACUGUAAUCUGUUAUAUAAGUUUCAUGGUACCAGAAAAAAAGUUAUUACAGGGUAUAGAAUUCCCUGAAAAUGCUCAGGAAAAGCAUUACCUCAAUAGUGACAUCGUGAUCCAACUGUUCAAUCGGGGCAGGUGUGUAAUCCAUAGGUUCGCUCUGGAGAGGUGGAACUAAUUCUGAGUCCCAGGAGACGAAGUAACCAUCUCCAUCCAAAUCACCCCCUGAACACUCACUGGGAUGCGGCCUAUUUUGUGCAAAAAGUGUAAGAUGCAUUAAGAGAGUAUGCAUUAAGAAAGAGAAAUUGUCUGAGAUGAGAAUCAAAAUAAGUGCAGAUCAAUAUCAUGUUUUGCUUUCUACUUUUAUCAACUAACAGUGUGUUAGGGAGGAUUAAAAGUAGAAAAGUUAACCCAAAUUAUGGGGAAGGAAUUUCUUGCCUCUAGUUUUAUAGCUAGUAGAAUUAAGGGGGAAAACUAAAGGGAUUUAUCCAGAACCAGAACUAUCAGAAGCAUAGACAACAUAGAGGAUGCUUCUUAGCAAGGUUGGACACAAAAUUUACUCAUCAGCCUCGGAUCACUGAACUCAAACCACAUUCAAGAAAGAGACACCAGGAGAAAGAUUAACAAGAGUUCAAAUCUAGCCAUCAAGUCCCACUGGAUAAACAUUUGAGUAUUUAUUCUCAAAUCUCAGAGGUGAUAGAAAAGAAGGCCCAAAACUAUUCCUAAAGAACUGUCAAAAUCAUCCUUGGCUAUGGAAAAUGAGGAAAAGAUUAAAUUGGGUUACACAUCCGACCAUAUAUUUCAGACCUAAUACAAACAUAAUAUCAGAAAUUUUAGACCUUAUUACUAUGAUCGAACCCAAAUCAAAACAAUAGUCAAAGAUCCACAACCAAAAGCAAAAACAAGCCCAGGAUAGAUCCUUGACAAGUGCCAGUGCAACUACGGUCAUUGUAAGCCAAUAACAAGGCAUGUUCGAGUCAUACCUUUUUCCUUUUUGUGGAAAAACAACACAAUCCACCAUAUGACGUAAAGCUGGCACAUCUACGGCAGUUAGAACUCGAACAUCACCGGGAUGUAAGCAAGGAUUCCUCGCAACAACUACAUUUCCCUGUACAACAGUUUGAUCUGAGUCAGAACUUCUGAACAUGAUUGACUCAUCCCACAUCUGUUUUUUCCUUCUACCAGAAUACUGCACAAACACCUGACCAUAUUGUAAAGUUCGGGUCUCAUCAAGGCAUCCCAUCAUGUAUCUUCCUUCAGGAAGAAAUAUCUUUGUUUUUAUCCGUAAAAGAAACAAUUUUGCAGCUCUGAAUGUUCGCAGCAUCAUCGAUAGAAAUGGCUCAGCAUCAGGCUCAUAACCACACUUUAGCAUUUCUUUGAGAAUGUUACCAUUCUCGCCAGGGGACAUUAAAUCUAGAGCCUCUUGUGCUCGUAAGGGAUCAACUAAAAUAGCAUUUAGCUGAUCUACAGCAUUUCUUUGUUUUUUCUCAAACACGUGAUCUGGAACGCCAAGCGUUGAGAGAAGAGUGAUUAACUGGCGAUUCAGAAAGAGAGGCUGAUAUUUGCUCCACGCCAAGACAUUUAGCUUUGUCUCAUUCGAUUCAUACUUGGACAUGCUCUCUCUGAGUGACAGUUUAACAGAGGAUGUCGGAUCAACAGCUACAACACCUUUGUAUCCGCCAUAGCGAAUUUGAAAUGCUGAAGGAGUAUAGCCGUUGAAGCCACAUUUUCUUGCAACUUUCCGAGCGAAAUUUUCAGAUAUUUUCCCGAUUCCGUCAGAGAAGUUAUAAUAUUUAUCCUCAACAUGUGAUUUGACUUUAACAUCCGGAAUGACUUCAACUUCAUGUCUAUCUACAUUGAGAGUUUCAGUAGAUGAACUAAAGGAUUGGCCGAGUCUUGCGGCAUAUCUUGCGACAUUUCUUAUUUUUCUGAAUUCACCCAUCUUUGCCCUGAUAGUUGCAGCAGUUGUACCAUUUGUUGGAGCAAACAUCCAAGCAGAAUUUUCGCGUAACUGACUGGAUGAGAAGGCAAGAAAUUCAAACUCCUUAUCACCUAUUCUUAUGCCAUUCUUGAGUAUAGAAAGGAUCCUUUCAUAUAUAUCCGUCCUUCCAUGUCUCGAACCAGUGUGAGGAGAUAAAUCAGUUGAAUGCAUUUUUUCCAAGUUCUCAUCCACAAAAGAAAUGCGGAUAAAAUUGUCAAUGUACUGAGAAUAUCUCCGCAAUACAUGAUUUGAGACAUUAAUUUCUGGACCAAAAAAAUACACCCUGCACGGUGUUAUUUGCACCCUAUGUACAUAAACCAAGCCAGCAUCUAACGUUAUUGAAGACAGUUUCGUAGAAUGCCGGGAGGUGAGAUAUUUCUUGUACUGCUUAAUCAGCCACUUUGAGGGUUCAUAACAACAUUCUUUCAUAUGGAACAGUUUGUCUAAGGCAUCUAGGAUCAUGUCCAUGUCUAUCCUCCGUGUAUCAACCAUUCGAUAAAAUAAAGAAU